This 84486-nucleotide long non-coding RNA is filed under the name Sorghum bicolor (sorghum). RNAcentral describes it as "long non-coding RNA (SBIC_LNC000338)". Lineage: Eukaryota; Viridiplantae; Streptophyta; Magnoliopsida; Poales; Poaceae. The record is from RNAcentral.
GGGGGUCUGGUUUUAUAGUCCCCUCAAGUGAACCUGGGCCGUCAGAUCAAACCGACAUAGAUUGAACGGUUAUCCUUGAUCCUUUAGCUCGGUGGAGAUCUCCCGAGAAACAGAGUCCUGAUUGGACUCCAAGUCAGGGCGGGCGCCCAGGGCAGGAGGGCGGGCGCCCUGCCUCAGGCCCCGUUCGGCCUCCGCUUUCUUCCCGUGGCUUCUGGAGUCUUCUAGAUGUAAGAUAAUUGCGCGGCACGUUAAUAUCUUUAUGUAAUCCUGACGUGUGGGCCUUUCUUCCAUAUUUCCUGAUAACCCCCUGCAGAAAUAGACAAACACCAAAACUCGUGGAAUUCUGUCAGAUAAAACCCUAAGUCUAGAUGUUGAUUUCAUUUGGAUCCUUUUCUUUGUUUAUUUGAUAAUUAAAUUUGAUACUUAAGGACCGUCAACAAACUCCCCCAAGCUUAACUCUUGCUCGUCCCUGAGCAAGGAUAAUCUCAGCGAUGGAUCAGAAGUUGUUGCAAUAUCUUAAAAAUUUGACGGUACACAUGCUUUUAAAUAAGAUCUCAUCUCUGAGUUAGAGUAAACUGUCAAGAACUAAAACUUACUUACUUUACCUUUCACCAUGGGACUUGUAACCGUCACUUCUGUCUUGAGUAGUUAAAAGAUAGAACAGUCUAGCCAAGUGCCAUGUCUCUUAUUCUUGAUUAGCUAUAGCUCUGGAGUUUUUGCAGAUUUUCAAAUAAAACUCAGAGAUUCCUUGUAUGACUCUCUAAAUCUCUCUUUUGUGGUAUUUCUGGAUCCUUACCAAGGCAGUGAUAGUAUAUGCCUUCUCUCAAGAUAUGUGGUAUUUGUGGUAUAAGGCAUAGUGACAUUGCCUUCUCUCUCACCCUACUCUAAUAAGGCUUUAAUAUCUGGAGCUCAUAGGUGGGAGAUAAAAUAUACAUACUUACAAGACAUUUAUUGUAUAGUCAAACCAUGGAUCCAAAGAAACAAAUCAUUAAGCCAAAUCAAGAUGUGCAUGUGUGGCGAUUGAAUGGUGUAUGGUGAUGAUGGUGGUAAUGGUGGAAGUCUAAUUCUACCUUGCUCUUUCAAGGGGAUACAUACCUUUCUUGCUUUUUGAAACUUUGUGAGGAGAAUGAGAUGCUCUUCUUUUUCAUUUCUCUUAGAUGGGUAUCUUGUACCUCUAAUUCUACUGUCGGACACUUGUCCAUUUUUACCUCUCGUCUCACUUUUCCUUUCCUUUCGAGGUUCCGAGCACUUGUCCCUUUUUAUUUCCUCGUAUCUUUCUUUUUUUUCUUUUUUUUUUCAAAGCACUCAUCUCUUGAGAUAAUAUAGCAAGUGGUAGUAACAAGAUAACUUGAGCAUUUAUUUCAUAGGGAAAAACAUAGAUGUUUUUGGCUAUUCUCUCCCGAAUUAGGAGUAGAAUAUUUUUUAGGUGAUUCUGGAGAUGGAAAUGGAUGGAUAUAUGUGGAUGGUACUUCCGGAGUAGAAGUAGCAUAUAUGAGUGAACGUGCAAGUGAAUCUUGAUUUAACCACAUGACAAGCUCCUAAGGGUCUACACAGCUUGACCGCACUCAAUGCUCAUAAGCAGUAAAUAGUAAAUGUGUGGCUCAAAGUCUAGCAAGCAUGUAUAUAUGGCUGUGGUAGGAAUUUAAACUCUCAUCAUACAGGAACUCAUCAUGCAAUAUUUUAAAGAUUUUUCAAAGAUAAAAUUCUCUAGAAUUCUAGCAUCUCUAGGAACAGAUAAACAGCAGCUCAACCUUCCCAUAUCAUAUUCGUUAACAACUUAGACUUCAGAUCAAGUUUUCAUCCCACAAGUUUAGGUCUAGAGCAAGCUUUAAAUUAUAACAGUUAUGUCUAAACUUGAGAGAGAACUUCAAAUUUUAAAAUUUAGGCAGAGCAACUAUUCAUCAUAUCCAUGCUAGAGUUUUAUUAUUAAGAUUCAGAUUAGCAUAGCCACUUUAUUUAUUUAUUAAACAUACUAAGCAAAAGAUAUAUAUAUAUAUAUAUAUAAACACAAAAUCUUUAUUUAGUUUUUCAUAGUUAUGUAUAUCUAUAUUUUAAUACAGUAUAAGUGUAAAGAUAGAUAGAUAGAAAUACUUAUCGGGAUAAAUGGGGGUGCUCUCCCCCAAGCUGAAUUUUGACGUAAUUUCCCUUGAUGUAGCUAGCAGGUGGCAGAGGUGUAUUUGAGAGUCAGCAGCAUUCUGACAGCGAUUAGAAUGUCCUCCGUCUGCUAGUCUUCUUAAAUCUUGUGGAGCUCAAAUAGACAACAAAGCUUGUGAAACUGAUUAAGUGUUAGCAUAAAUAUCUAGCCUUUAUCAUGUUGAGACUCCUUAACAAUUAUUACUCUCUAUUUUUUUAUAUUUUCGUUUUAUAAAGCAGAAAAGAAAUAUUUAUUUUAUUUUUAUGCCACCACAGUGAAGGUACCUAUGGGUUUUAUGCCACGAGCAUACUCAUAUGGGGCUUACUAACAUUUUUAUUUUCUUUCAAGAUAGCAUGAUUAACUAAUAAGCUAUUUAAGGAAAGUAGGUAAUUAAAGGGAAAAGGGAAUGCAGAAAGGAUAAAUAUGGAUAACUACUGAUUUUACCUUUCGGCGAGGGUUCAACGUUUUAAGUCUUCUGAACAAGACUUCUCACCGUGUUCAUUCUUCAGGUGCGUCAUUUGAUUCAGGUGCGGACCUUGACGUCUGCACCUCUUGGUACGGUGUCACCCAUGUUCUUCGUUUGCCCAGCAGUUCGAAGUGCGGCGUUGGCAGCAUCCUGCUUAGUGUGUUUGUGCUCGUAGUGUACCUGCUCAUAGAGACAAGGCAGAGAUCAAGUGCAUGGGCCCUGUUGGUGGAAAACACCAACAGAACCAAAAGUGUAUUUGUUCUUCUCUAACCUUAAGCAUGGUGAGCAAGACAAAGUUGAUGAAUGAUAAGUCCAUGAGUGUAGCAUUUAUAACAUUUGUCAGAUCAGAUCGCUUCAACCUUAUGGAAAGAUAAUCUAUCUAUGUAUAUGUCUUUUUCUUUAUAUCUCUCAAAGAUUGAAUGUGUAACAUUUUAGCUCAUAUGAUUAGGAGUGUGGGUUCAUGGAGGUAGUACUAGGAACAAGGAUUAAAGGACUAAACAUGCUGAAUCAGUUGGGUUAGUUAAUUUGGAGUUAUAAAUCAUACAUGUUUGUCUCUUUAUUUAUGUGAACGCUAGAACCAAGGAGAAGCUUAUAAAAGUGAUAGUCACAUAUCUUAAGAUGUUACCUUAAUUGAAGAGUGAUGGUACCAUCUCACCUUGUGGAAGCUUCCCAUUCGUAGUGGUUGUGUAUCUUGUUUAUGUACUUUGUCUCCUUCCAUGGAUCAUCGCUCUAUGAUGAAUGAGCUAUGUCCUUCUUGUGCAAAUUGUUAAACUUCAUGUGUCACUCUCUUCAUCUCUGAUGUGAGUUUAUCUCAGGACUUCCCAGGUUGAUAGUGAAAGUUUUCCUGCAGGGGUUAGUCCGACAAAAUAUACCAAUAUCUACUCAAGCAAUUUUUAGUUCAGUAACCAAACUAGACUCCAUGUCUAAUCACAUUAAGGAAGGCUAUUUAACCUAAGCACCAUGCUUAAUUUAAAUGCCAAUGGAAGUAUGGCGAGUACUUCCAAACCAACACUUGCUAGUAAAUAGACAAAGGUAGCAUGACAGCAUUUAUAGUGAUCUACUCAAGUGGAGAUGAAGUAGUGUGAUUAGUAUUUAACAAAUUGAGCAUGUCUCAAAGGUAGGGACAACCAUCACGGCAAAGGAUGUUUUUAUGUAAAGUACUCCCCCAAGCUUGAAUUUUGCAAAAUUCAAGUUUGGAUGAAUUUAAUUCAAUGUUGUAUGAUGAUUGGUUGGACAUACCUUGUGCUUGUCAUUCAUCCGAUCUUCUUGCUCUAAUCCUAGAAAGGUUAGUGAUAAGAAAACCCAAAGGAAUUUUUUUUACAAUUAUCCUUAUAUGCUCAAUACACCAGGUAAUGUUGUAAAUAAUUAAAAGCUCAUGUUAUGAUCUGAUCAGUGCUUAUUUUAAGACACUAAGCUUGUCCUUGGGAAACCAUCAAUUUAUGUCGGCGAAGUGGUUUCCCUUCCAACACUGAUCUAUAUCAAGAUCAACUCAACGAGAUCUGCAAUAUUUAUUAUAGACAUAUGCAUCGACAACCGCCCUUUUAAAGUUUUUGUAAAUAGAAAGGAAGAGGGGGUUGGAGAUCUCAAAUGUGGUAAUGUUGGAGAGACCAAUAGAUUGGGAAGAUGUUUCAUAUGAGCAUAGAGUAAAUGAAGUGGUUAUGAAAUAAAUUCUAUGCUCAUUAAUGUUAUCUUCGUCUCCAAUCUGAAUGUUCGGAGUUUCUCCUAGAUUGGUCUCACCUAUGUCCUCUUCUGUAGUUGGAUGAAUCCCAUCUUCAAAGGGAGUCAAGAACUCACCAUUUGAAAUUGAACCAAAGUCAGAAUUCAUUAAGGCUUCUACCUUAUCCAUCCAUUCUACACAUUCUAGCCAUUUAGAACUUGUGAUCAGGAAAGGGGAGGUGUUAGAAUUUUCAAUAUGGCUUAGCUCUCCUUCACUUGAUAUGUCAUCCUCGACUUCUUCAUAACAGGAACCAGGACAUUCUCUAAGAGAACCAUUAUUGCGAGGAUUUGAAUUAUCCCUGCUUGAAGGUCUCUUAUGGAACCAGAAGUCUAAACCAUCAGCAUCUGAAAGAUUUAAGGUCGGAAUUCCUUCCUCCCUUGGAGAAUUUUGGGGUAUUGAUGGUUUAGGAUUGAUAGCUAAAGUUUGGAAUUGAAGUGGUUGUGAUCUGGCUAUCGAAACUUCUUCUUCUUGUCUAGGAACUAGUUCUGUCUCUUUCUCAGGGAUAUAAAAGCUAGGAGACUUUCCACUUAAUAAAUCAAUCAAAUUCCAAGCUUCCUAGCAGGUAGGUGAUAGAAGGAUCCUCUAGAGGCUGUAUUCAAGGUUUGCUUAUUUUCCCUACUAAGGCCCUCAAAAAAGUGAAUUAAAAGAACUUCUGGAAUAGAAAGCUUUGGGCCAGUGAGAGUAAGGUUAAUGAAGCAGUCCCAUGAUUUGCUAAGAGUUUCUUCUUCCAAUUGUCUAAAAGAAAUAAUCUCACGCCGAAGUUCCGCCACUUUAGAGAUUGGAAAAUAUUUUAAAAGAAAACUAUUAUGUAACUCCUUCCAAUCUCCAUGAACACUCCCUACUUUGAGUUUAUACCAAUGUCUAGCUUUUCCUGUUAAAGAGAACGGAAAGAGCUUCCAUUUAAGGGUCUCAUCGGACAUGCCUUCUAUGCGAAGGAGGUCACAGACUCUAUAAAACUCUCUUAGGUGUGUGUAUGGGCUUUCCUCACCUUCUCCUGAGAAAGGUUGUUUUUGAACAAAUUCUAUGUAUUCAGGGUCUAUCUCAAAGCUAGAUGCUAUGAUAGGCUUUGAAGAUUUUGGUGGUUCGAGAUGUGUGCCCGUAGGUCUAUGAAAUUCAUAGAUAGACAUGUUUGAAUUCAUGAUAGACCAGAGAUCAAGGAUUAGAUAAGAAGAAAGAUUAGCAGAGAUGAGGCAAAGGAUAAAAGGAAUAUAUAUAUAUAUAUAUAUAUAUAUAUAUAUAUAUAUAGAAAAUGAUUAAGCUAGUUCGUAGUCAACUCAGCAACCGUUUCCCCGGCAACGGCGCCAAAAAUUCUUGAUGACACUUGCUAACACCACUUGAAUACUAGGUUGUCAUCUCCAGCAUGGUACUAGAGUGUACUAUGGUAUUUAUACGCACACAGAUAAUCCGCAAGCGCACGGAUACCGUUGAAGCUGUUACCCGGUUAAAGGUUUUAUCUUAUCCACAGGGAAACGGGAGAACCAACUACGCUCUAACUUAACUAAGAUAAGUAAAUAGGUGUAAAUAGGAAAGAUGGUAGAAUCGAAUAAGAACAAUAUUAAAGGUAAGAUAACAGUGAGUGAUAAUAUGGGAAUAGAGAGUAGAGCAAUCUAGUAUAUGGGCGAUGGUAGCAGAAUAGAGAGGAUAACUAUGGUUUCUCUACUUCAAAGGGGUAUGUCUAUGAUGAGGACAUCCCAACCAAACAUGCUCCCUCUAAUUCCACGCCAACCUCUACACCGACUACGCCGGCACCAGCCCAUGUCAUCAAUGGACCGAUUACACGUAGUCGUGCAAAGAAGCUACAACAAGAGGUCCACGCGCUACUUUGUGAGAUUCAUUUUAACAUUAAUAAGAAUUAUAUACUAUCUAAGUGUUGUACCUUGGUUGUACUCAGGUAUAUAGAAGAAGAGAAGGAUAAAUCGGACCCUGAAGAACGGACCAGUGCAAGUUCCAGAAGAAGUCAAAAACAGACUAGUGGAAGUCAAAAACGGACCAGUGAAAGAAAUCUUCAUAACUUUUUACUCACAAAAGCUAUGAAGGUCCAUGAGCACUUGUUGGAAAGCUUGAUGAGUCUACUUUCCAAUGAGUCUAGUGGCGACCAGUUUGGAUACUCCAUAUUUCCUGCAGGCCAGAAUUAGUACAGACUACUCAGAAGGUCAACAGUCUGUCGUGAAAGAAUGUUGGUACAACUUGCCAAGUGAAACUGUACCAAUCUACAGCAUUUCAUGGUGCAUGGAAUACAUUGAUGGAAAGCUCUUGGAGUUUAGUUUCACACCCAAGAAACGGUUCAUCAUUUGGACUUCCCAAUAAAAAGUUAUGAUCAGUUUAUUGGAAACUGCUCUAGAGGCCAACAGUCACGCGAAGCCACUUCGGGAAUCCAUUUCGAGGGGACCUUUCACAUUACCUUCCCUCAGAAACUCUAUUUCGUUUUCAUACCUAUCUAGCAGGGCUGUUGCUAGUAUAAAUACCCCCUAAGACUGUAACAUCCCUGAUGUUACUAAUACUAAAAACGGAUCAUGUCAUCAUAAGCAUUGCAAAGCAUAUUUGUUAAGCACAUUGUUAUUUAUUUUGAUUGCUUGUGUUUAGGGAAGUAGAGUGUGCUUAUGUUGUGUGUUGAUGCUUGCUAAAACCCUAGGGUGGAAGUUUUCCGAAGGCUUAGGGGGGGAAAAACCCUGAUUUCUGGACCCUAGAAUUGCCCCUUUUUGUGCAGUUCAAAAACUAAGCAAAAUUUGAGGUUGAGUUCAAAAGCAAAGUUGUAGGUCUUGUCAAGAUGUACAACUUUGGUGUUUUGAGUUUUUGAAGUUUCAAUACAAAAUUCAAAGUAAUUUUGAAAACACAGAUUUCCAGAAAAUGUCCCCUUUUCCAACUUAAACCCCCAAUUCAAAAUCCAUUUGGAAUUUUGAAAAGUGGUCAACAUGAAAGUUGUAGAGCACAGAAAGUUGAACAACUUUCAUGUUGGGAGUUUUUCAAGUUGUUUGGAAAAAUCAAAAGUAAUUUUAGAAUUUCUAUUCUGUCCCAAUUCAAACCAGAAUUGCCCCCAAAUUGAAUUUUUGAAUUUCAAACUGUUUCCCCUAAAUUCAUGCCCUUACACUCAAAAUCAGUUCUGGACUCUUAAAUAAGUUUUGUAGCUUAUAAAAUUUGGAACAACUUUUGUUUUGACACAAACUUGGCUCCAGUUCAAAUUUCGGCUGAAUUUCACAAAAGUCAGAAAAGGAGGGAUAAGGGUCUGCUACAGUGAUCCGAUAUGGAUCACCGGCUCCCUGUCCAGCGCAGCCGCCGCGCGAGCAGCGCCGCACGCAUGCGUGCGUGCACGCAGCUGCUUGCUGCCAGGGUCGCCAGGCGACGUGGAUGCCUCGGGCUUGCUUUCCCCUCCACUUGAGCGCAGCGUGGACGACGCCAUGCGUUUCCUCCGUUCUGAGCCAAAGAAGCCGACGAGCCUUUCUCUCCCAAAUUCACCAUAUCCAUUCCUUCCCAAGCCAAAUUGAGCAACCCAGAGUCUUCGUCACCUUCGUGCGAACCCAGUGCACCCCCAAGCUCCCUCUCUAACCCCCUCGAACGCCAGAGCUCCUCCCUCUUCUCCAACUCCGGCCGAGACCGCCGCCGCGGAGCUCUUCCCGUGGCCACGGUGUUACAGUGAGUAUCACACCCCGCUGGCGACUGUUUCACGUUCCUUCCGUGCCCCGGUUGCUCAUGCGCUCGCUCCCUCUCCUUGAUUGUGAGCAGGAUUGCCAGAACGAGCUUGCCGGAGCCAGAGCUCCCGCCCGACGACACUGCCUCCGUCGCCAGCGGCUUCAGCUGCUUCCCCGAGACUCGCAGCGUGAGCACCAUCCUCCCCAACCCCUGUGGAAGCUCGCUAGGCCGUCGGCUUGCACUCUACCGGGUCCCGGUGGCCGGCCGAUAGUCGGCCAUGGCGGCCGUCCGCCGGUGACACGGUUGCGAUAGAAAGAAGGCGGUAGAGCGCGAGUGAGCGGUAGAGAUCGGUCCGCGGAAGAGAGGCGGAGCCGAUGCGCACACGCGUGGGGGCCGAGGACCUCGCUAACGGCCACCGGAGCUGCGGCAGUGCCGUCGCGCGUGAAGGGGACGAAGCUGACAGGUGGGGUCGUCCUGUCAGCGUCUCGCAGGAGGGGGAGGGAGCCUGACGAGCAGGGCCCGCUCGUCAGCGACCACGCAGAGAGGGGGCAGCGCGCGCCGCGUCCGCGUGGACCGAGCCCUCGGGCCGACUUGGGCCGGGUCCAAAUAAAUUUUAAUAAUUUAUUUGUAUGUUCAAAAAUCACCAAAAUUGGUGGAGAGCCUCUGAACAUUAUUCCCUGGCUCCACACAAAAUUUGGUGGCAUUUGGAUAAUAUUUGAAUAAAAUAUAAAUAAACCCUUAUUUAAUAAUUAAAUAAUAAUUCCAAAAUAAUUAGAUAGUGAUUAGUUAAAUCCUCAUAAUUAGGGUUGAGUGAUUUUGGGAUUGUGUGAUGACCUGAGGUCAUUAACCCUAAUGACCUUUGCCAUUUAAUUAUUGGUUGGCCUUAAUGCUUAAUUACUGUCAUUAGUAGUUAAUUAAGAUUUAAUUAAGGUAAAUAGGAUUAAUGAUUAGUUAAUUUAAGAUAAUUAUGAAUUAGGAAAAGUCUUAAUUUGCAGAUGCAACCUCUUGGGUAAAGACACUAAGAUGUUAAGCAACUUUAUUUAUUGGUUAUUCUGUAUUGCACCGAGAAGGCAAGUUGUACUCGACUUGAUCCUUCUUGCAUAAUUGUCAUACGCAUAUCAUGAGCAUUCAUCAUUUUGCGUAUAGUAUCCGUGACCGAAGGAGCGCCCGUUGAACCAAACCCCGAGGUCGGUGCUCCGUUCGAAGAAGUCGGAUCCGAGACUUGGGAAGUCUCCGAGGGUCCCUCUCUGCCCUGCAACCAAGGCAAGCCCCGGAUGCAUUAACCCCUCCUUGAAUGUUUUAAAUCUUUUAUCACUUAUGAAUUGAAAAUGCUGCAUUAGGAAGUUGAGAAUUGGGUUAACCUACUUGCUACAUUUACUACCUUGAUAUCUGUUAUCCUGUCCUUGACACCUGUUUUAUUUUAAAACUGCGUAGCGAUGCUUAGCCCUGCUACUAGAUAGGUUUUCAACAAGAAAGUUUGAAGGGUUGUUGUGGAAUACAUUUAUGAUCAAUGAUGUUUUAAUCUGAGACCGGUCGGUGGACUUGCUUUAAGAAUGGAGUCUUAAAGUAGUGUCUCCAACUGUGUCGAUUAAGGACCGGUCCGUUGAUGGCCCGCUGGGUUGAGAAUUUAUAGUACUGGCCACUUGCCUUCGGUAAGCCCGGUCUUGUGAUCCCUCGACGCGAACAGCUACUCGCGCACUGGGAGUGGAAAGAUGGCGAGAGUAGUGUGUACCCGCCUUACGGAUCUGAGAUGACCGGAAAACAUCUAGAUCGGCUGUAGGAUGGUGGAGUAUUGUGCUCUCGGGUGCCGCGAACCUGGUCAAAUUUGGGGAGAGCUUGAUUUGGGUUGACAUAUGCAAGUUUUGGUUCUACAUAUGUCGGGUGGUUAGGAACUCCAGCUGGAUCGUCGUUGCUCCCCGAUUGGGAGACUCAAUCCACUGCCCCUCAUCGUAGUUAAAUAUGCAACUAAGUUGUAAAAUGAAAAAGGGGGAAAUGUCUCAUGAGGUUCGGAUCCCAAUUCCCGGACUCAUAGCGACAUGAAGCUAUGGCCAUCGAAUGAAUAAUACUUUAUUUUAGGACUAGAAACUCACAGACUUAUCUGUGGGGAAACAACUAGGUAGACUGUCCUCGAACUCCUCGGCCUCGACGGGGGAGGAAUUCGUAGGUAAAACUUGAAAGUAAGGAUGCACUAUUAGUAAGCUUUAUAGCAAAACACUUUGGCUCCUUGCUCAACCACUCCUUGUCUACCCUAAGCCUGCAUUCCUAAGUUCUCCUCUUUUCCGCCGGGUAAGUCUUGUUGAGUACCCCCGUACUCAGGGUUCCAAUACCCCUGUUGCAGGUGAAGCACAGGAGCCGACUUGUUUCGGACCUUGUUGUGUGACCGUCGUCGAGGUUGACGACGAAGAAGAGUGAGCGUGACCCAUGGGCAGGGUCUGUAAAUUUGUACUCUCUGUCCUAAAGUUUAAGUUGCUCCGCUGGACCUGGCUUGUAAUAACACUCUGCAAUUUGGAAGAACUCCUUUUGUAAAAUAAGUUAUGUAAUACUUCCGCUGUUUUACUCUGAAAUAUUAUGUUGGUCGUAUGUCGUUUGUGGUACUGCAAUGUCUUCGCAACGAAUGAUCCUGGUGAUAAGGUGGCCACUUGCUGUCCUGUAAGGGCGAGAAGAAGAAGUUCUCGUUAAUUGACCAUCACCAGUGGUGAGGACGAGCCGGCUUGGCACGCCACAGGUAGCAGUGGAAUGAGCAUCCAGCGAUGCUCAUCGGACUUCUAAAGUGGGAGGAUCCCCGGCAUCGCCGUCAGAGGUCCUUAGGACAAUGACAGGUGCCGGUGGGCCCAAACACUUAGGGGGUUCUGCCACAGCUGGUAUCAGAGCAUUCGUUGCUAAGAUGGCUGCUGUACCCAUUGAAAAACUUCAAAAAUUCGUUUGGAUCUAAUACUAUGAACCUGCCUAUUUUGAGUCCAAGUGCUUAGUCCUAACCUACCCCUGCCUAUAGGCUUUCUUAGAAUUUUAAAAGUGGUAUGGAGGAGCAACAUAAAGUAUUGCCCUAUGUUGUAAAAAUUUAAAGUAAUAUCGUUACGAAUUGUUAGUAGGAAUCGUAAGUUCGUGCAUGCAUCAUGAUGUAUUAACUGGUUAAGUUCCUUCCUCCUUGUUUGGGUUGGGUGAAUAGAAUCCAUCCUAUUCUUGCUAACCUUUAAGGUCUCUCUUACUAAUCUAAACUUACCCUCUACAGGAUGGCUCGUCAGAAGCAGACCCCGCGUAAGAGGACAGGCCCAAAAGGACUUCCCCGACAUCAGUUGGCUCCACGCAGUGAUCAAGCCAGCAGUAGUCGUUCACCGCCUCAGCAGGAGGUGGACAGGUUGUCCGCCGAGUUGACUGAGGUGAUGAGAGAAAGAAUGUACAAUGUUAUGUAGAUCGGCAAACUUAAAGCUCAACUAGCCAAAGAAAAACAAGCUACAGAGAACUGUGAGGCUAUGUUGUCCCGGAUGGUGGAGGAGAGGAAUGCCGCCAUUGCCCGAGAGGAAGAAGCUAGGAGCACACACAGGCAUGAGCUGACUAGGAUGAAUGCAAAGCUGGGCAAGGCCAGGUAUCUUAAGGAUUUGUACGUGAAGAUGGCGGCCACGGUCACCGCGCAGCGGGAUGUCGCGUGGCAGCGAGAGGACCAGCUCCAGUUGGAGAAGCUGGAGCUGGCACAUCACUUAGAUAUCGUUAAUGACUUGGCAAUGCAGUAUCGUGAUAUUGCAUUUGAUCUGUAUCAUCAGCUCCACCCACCUCCAGGCGAAGGAGAAAUGGAUACGGAUGGCGAGUUGGCAGAUGAUGGGGAACCCGAUCUAGGCCUCAGUGAUGAAGAGGAGUCCGACCCCGAUGACAACAACCUAGGGGGUAAUCAGGAUGAUGGCAAUGACGACCCGGGCUACAGCUCUGGCCACACCGAUUAGUUCGGUGAAACCGCGGGCAACGUCGUUGUAGGAGUCCUAGCUUGCCGUAGUGGGGUUCGGGUUUGUAAUAUAAGUUUUCUUUUGGUUGAGAAGUUGUAUUUGUUUGUUCCUGGUGUGUCGAACUAAUGUUUAAUAAAUAAAUGGAAGAAUGUAAGAUAUGUUCUGUGUUAUGAAUUUCACGUGGUAACAGGUAUCUACGAUUCUUGUAACAGAUGCCGAUGCGUACACGCGGAUCUGAUGGAGCUGGGACAUCUCAGGGAGGGGAUGAUAUCCCCAACCCUCCACCUGAUCCACCUUCUUUGGCUGACGCCAUUGCUGUUCUGUUAAGUGCCACUACUGACAACGCUCGCUUGCUGCGCGAGCUAGCACAGCGUCAACCACACCCCGCCCCAAACUUCAGGGCACCGCGCAACGGGGACGGAGAGACUCGGUAUGUGGACUUUACCGAGACCAGGCCCCCGGUGUUCACUAAGGCCGAUGAGCCUUUAGAAGCGGAUGAUUGGCUCCGAACCAUGGAGCAUAAGUUCAGUUUGAUUCAGUGUUCAGAAACUCAGAAGCCCCUGUUCGCAGCUCAGCAGCUUCGAGGAGCUGCAGGUGCCUGGUAGGAGAACUUCUUAGCUAUCCAAGCUCCUGGACACCAAGUCACCUGGACCGAGUUUAAGGACUCGUUUCGCGCCCAUUACAUUCCUGAAGGGCUCAUGGCCAUGAAGGCCGAAGAGUUUCUCGCCUUGCAGCAAGGCGAUAAAAGUGUUAUGGAAUACGUGGCAAGGUUUAAUCAUCUCUCUCAAUAUGCCACGGACCAUGUGAACACAGACCAAAAGAAGAAAGCCUGCUUCAUGCGUGGUCUAAAUACUAAACUUCAGACCAUGAUGACCACUUGCCAAAAUGCUACCUUCUAUGAGGCGGUAAAUAUUGCCAUAGCCUCAAAGAAAAAGAAUAGAAAGCAUAAAGAAGCCAAGAAGAAGGCUGCUUCUUCCUCCUUCUCUGGUCGCGGCCAAAAGCGCCAGAGAAUCAUUUAUCACCCGCAGGGCCACGGACGUUUCCAAGCGCCGCCACCUUAUCGUGGUCCUUUCUCCCCUCCACAGUAUAAACCAGGGCAGCAGGUAUACUCUCGACCUACUGCCAUCGCUUUCGCACCACGCCAGCCAAACGCCCCAGGUGUUCGCCCCACUGCUCCGCCCAGCCACAAUUACCCUUGCUUCAAUUGUGGUAAACCUGGGCAUUUCUCUAAAGAGUGCCCUUUUCCCCGCCAAGCCAACCCCACCUUCCAAAGGCCACCUAUGGGCCAACCCCAGCCGGGUCAAUUCAGAACUGGGGUUCAGAAGGGACAAAAUGUGCAAAAGGGGAAACCAGCGAAGAAAGUGGGACAAGUCUUCCAUACGGAAGUGGAGACGAUUCCAGAGGGUGAACCAGUAAUGAUGGGUACGUUUCCUGUCGCGAAACAUCCUGCUUUAAUGCUCUUCGAUUCUGGUGCAUCUCAUACAUUCAUCAAUCGCACCUUUGUGUUAAAGCAUGGCAUACCCAUUGGGGAAACACAAGAUCAUUUUUAUAUACAGUCGCCAGGAGGACGGCUGAUGUCCAAAGAAAUGGUUCACCAAGUACCCAUCGAAUUUGGUGGGCAUAAUUUUCCCACUAGCAUGAUUGUUCUUAAGGACCAAGAGAUUGAUGUCAUCUUAGGCAUGAACUGGAUGGCACAACGAGGGGUUGUGCUAGACACUUUGCAUCGAACCAUUAAAAUCCCCUUGCCCAAUGAGAAUUCUUAUUUGCUAAUUCAAUUAGUUACUCCCAAGCGGACAAUUGGGCAAGUUCAUGCCGCUAAUGUGUGUGAAGUCAAAGAUAUCCCGGUAGUUCGAGAUUUUCCGGAUGUAUUUCCUGAAGACCUACCAGGUCUGCCUCCGGACCGGGAUGUACAAUUCAGUAUAGAAUUGAAACCAGGGACAGCCCCAAUAUCUCGAAGGGCCUACAGAAUGGCACCGAAAGAGCUGGCCGAAUUAAAAACUCAAUUACAAGAGUUGUUGCAAAAAGGUUUUAUUCAGCCCAGUUCUUCUCCAUGGGGUUGCCCAGCCUUGUUUGUGAAAAAGAAAGAUCAAACAUUAAGGCUGUGUGUCGACUAUCGUCCCCUAAAUGAGGUGACGAUUAAGAACAAGUACCCAUUGCCCCGCAUUGACUUAUUGUUUGACCAGCUAGCUGGGGCCAAAGUAUUCUCGAAAAUUGAUUUGAGAUCGGGGUACCACCAAAUUAAAAUUAGGCAGGAAGAUGUGCCCAAGACAGCUUUUACAACCCGUUACGGGCUGUAUGAAUACUUGGUGAUGUCCUUUGGGUUGACCAAUGCACCGGCCCAUUUCAUGUACCUGAUGAACUCUGUCUUCAUGCCAGAACUAGAUAAAUUUGUUGUAGUCUUUAUUGAUGACAUUUUGAUUUACUCCAAGACUAAGAAAGAACAUGCUGAACAUUUGAGGGUCGUGCUGACUCGUCUCAGGGAGCAUCAGCUAUACGCCAAGUUCAGCAAAUGUGAGUUCUGGCUGGACAAAGUCCAUUUCCUGGGUCAUGUAUUAUCAGCGGAAGGAGUCGCUGUAGACCCAGGCAAGGUAGAAGACGUGUUGAAUUGGAAACCCCCGACUACGGUACAUGAGGUCCGUAGUUUUCUGGGUAUGGCGGGAUAUUACCGUCGUUUUAUCCCGGACUUUUCCAGAGUCGCCAAACCAAUUACAACCUUGCUCAAAAAUCAAACAAAAUUUGUUUGGUCACCCCAAUGUGAGCAAGCCUUUCAGACUCUGAAAAGGUUAUUGACAACUGCACCUGUCUUAGCCCAGCCAGAUAUUGAAAAGCCCUUUGAUGUGUAUUGUGACGCAUCAGGAAUAGGGAUAGGCUGUGUGCUAAUGCAGGAGGGUCGCGUAAUUGCAUAUGCUUCCAGACAACUUAAACCACAUGAAGAGAAUUACCCGACCCAUGAUCUUGAACUAGCCGCCGUGGUACAUGCAUUAAAGAUCUGACGUCAUUAUCUGUUGGGGAACACAUGUCAUUUAUACACCGAUCACAAAAGCUUGAAGUAUAUCUUUACUCAAGCUGAGCUUAAUAUGCGCCAGCGAAGGUGGCUAGAAUUAAUUAAAGAUUACGACCUUGAGGUGCAUUAUCAUCCUGGCAAGGCAAAUGUAGUAGCUGAUGCCCUCAGUCGUAAGGCUCACUGUAAUUGCUUAACAGUGACGCCUAGAGAUAUAACUUUGUGCCAAGAGCUAGAGAACUUGGAGAUAGAAAUGAUUUCCCAAGGAAGCCUUGCCAAUCUAAAGAUUGAUUUCAAUCUCGAAGCCCAAAUCAUAGAGGCACAAAAAGAAGACAAAGGCAUGAAACAUCUUAAAGAGAAGAUUUCUAAUAGAGCACCCACAGACUUUAAGGUGGAUGAUGCGGGAGUAAUCUGGUUCAAGAACCGGGUAGUGGUCCCAAAGGUACCUGAGCUACGUCAACGAAUCCUGGAUGAAGCUCAUACCACGAGGUAUUCUAUUCAUCCGGGAAGCAAUAAGAUGUAUCAGGACUUAAAGCAAAGGUUUUGGUGGACAAAAAUGAAGAUAGAGAUAGCUCGCUAUGUGGCCCAAUGUGACACCCGUCGAAAAGUCAAAGCCAUUCAUCUCAAGUCCGCUGGGGAGUUGCAACCUUUGCCUAUCCCCGCAUGGAAAUGGGAUGAUAUUAGUAUGGAUUUCAUAGUGGGGUUGCCCAAGACAGCCAAAGGCUUUGAUUCAAUUUGGGACAUUGUGGAUCGUCUCACCAAAACAGCACACUUUUUACCCGUAAAGAAAUCGUAUCAUACUUCCACCUAUGCUCAGAUUUAUUUUGAUCGUAUCCUAAGUCUGCAUGGGGUGCCAAAGACAAUAGUGUCAGAUAGAGGCACACAAUUUGUCUCCCAGUUCUGGAAAUGCCUACAUGAAUCCUUAGGCACCAAACUUUUGUAUAGUACAGCCUACCACCCUCUAACAGGUGGGCAAACUGAGAGGGUGAACCAAACCCUAGAAGAUCUAUUGAGAUCUUGUGCCCUAAAUUUUCCAGAUAAAUGGGAUGACUGCUUGCCUCUAGCAGAAUUUUCUUACAACAAUAGCUACCAAGAGAGCAUCAAGAUGGCUCCCUUUGAGGCACUAUAUGGCCGCCGAUGUCGAACGCCGUUACACUGGUCGGAACCCGGAGAAAGGUGGUUCUUCGGGGUUGACUUAGUAAAAGAGACUGAGAACAAAGUUAAACAAAUUCAAAAUAAUUUGAAAGUUGCUCAGUCUCGACAGAAAAGUUAUGCUGAUAAAAGACGUCGACCCCUAAGAUUCGACAAAGGUGAUCAUGUGUAUUUGAAAGUAUCCCCAAUGAAAGGAGUAAAUCGUUUUGGUGUUAAAGGCAAGUUAGCACCCCGUUACAUUGGUCCAUUCCCAAUCAUUGACCGAUGUGGACAGGUAGCUUACCGCCUUAAACUGCCCGAACGAUUAUCCGGGAUACAUAAUGUGUUCCAUGUGUCUCAACUGAAGAAGUGUCUUCGAGUACCAGACCAAGUUCAAGAUAUUGAAGAUGUGGAACUUGAACCGGAUCUAACUUAUUCGGAGUAUCCUAUCCCAGUAUUGGACCAAAAAGAUAGAGUUACUCGAAGAACAACUACCAAGUGGUACAAGGUACAGUGGAGCCAACACUCUGAAGAGGAAGCCACCUGGGAAUCUGAAGACUAUCUGCUGGAGAAUUUUCCCGAAUUCCACGCUUCUCUUCAGGACAACAUAUGAUAAAUAGGGAGUGUACUCUAGUGAAGGAAAGGAGUAGCCAACGUCAUGUACUUUGUGUACAUACAUGUUUAUAAUGGAGUGGUUUUCCCCAACCUCUUGCUUUAUGGGAAAGUUGAAGAUGAAAGAGUUUUGGCAAAUUUCCUUUUCCAUUACUUACCCUAGGGCUUUAAAUCUCGGGGACGAGAUUUCUUUAAGGGGGAAGGGCUGUAACAUCCCUGAUGUUACUAAUACUAAAAACGGAUCAUGUCAUCAUAAGCAUUGCAAAGCAUAUUUGUUAAGCACAUUGUUAUGCAUCAACUUAAAACAAGUUUAUUUUGAUUGCUUGUGUUUAGGGAAGUAGAGUGUGCUUAUGUUGUGUGUUGAUGCUUGCUAAAACCCUAGGGUGGAAGUUUUCCGAAGGCUUAGGGGGGGGAAAACCCUGAUUUCUGGACCCUAGAAUUGCCCCUUUUUGUGCAGUUCAAAAACUAAGCAAAAUUUGAGGUUGAGUUCAAAAGCAAAGUUGUAGGUCUUGUCAAGAUGUACAACUUUGGUGUUUUGAGUUUUUGAAGUUUCAAUACAAAAUUCAAAGUAAUUUUGAAAACACAGAUUUCCAGAAAAUGUCCCCUUUUCCAACUUAAACCCCCAAUUCAAAAUCCAUUUGGAAUUUUGAAAAGUGGUCAACAUGAAAGUUGUAGAGCACAGAAAGUUGAACAACUUUCAUGUUGGGAGUUUUUCAAGUUGUUUGGAAAAAUCAAAAGUAAUUUUAGAAUUUCUAUUCUGUCCCAAUUCAAACCAGAAUUGCCCCCAAAUUGAAUUUUUGAAUUUCAAACUGUUUCCCCUAAAUUCAUGCCCUUACACUCAAAAUCAGUUCUGGACUCUUAAAUAAGUUUUGUAGCUUAUAAAAUUUGGAACAACUUUUGUUUUGACACAAACUUGGCUCCAGUUCAAAUUUCGGCUGAAUUUCACAAAAGUCAGAAAAGGAGGGAUAAGGGUCUGCUACAGUGAUCCGAUAUGGAUCACCGGCUCCCUGUCCAGCGCAGCCGCCGCGCGAGCAGCGCCGCACGCAUGCGUGCGUGCACGCAGCUGCUUGUUGCCAGGGUCGCCAGGCGACGUGGAUGCCUCGGGCUUGCUUUCCCCUCCACUUGAGCGCAGCAUGGACGACGCCAUGCGUUUCCUCCGUUCUGAGCCAAAGAAGCCGACGAGCCUUUCUCUCCCAAAUUCACCAUAUCCAUUCCUUCCCAAGCCAAAUUGAGCAACCCAGAGUCUUCGUCACCUUCGUGCGAACCCAGUGCACCCCCAAGCUCCCUCUCUAACCCCCUCGAACGCCAGAGCUCCUCCCUCUUCUCCAACUCCGGCCGAGACCGCCGCCGCGGAGCUCUUCCCGUGGCCACGGUGUUACAGUGAGUAUCACACCCCGCUGGCGACUGUUUCACGUUCCUUCCAUGCCCCGGUUGCUCAUGCGCUCGCUCCCUCUCCUUGAUUGUGAGCAGGAUUGCCAGAACGAGCUUGCCGGAGCCAAAGCUCCCGCCCGACGACACUGCCUCCGUCGCCAGCGGCUUCAGCUGCUUCCCCGAGACUCGCAGCGUGAGCACCAUCCUCCCCAACCCCUGUGGAAGCUCGCUAGGCCGUCGGCUUGCACUCUACCGGGUCCUGGUGGCCGGCCGAUAGUCGGCCAUGGCGGCCGUCCGCCGGUGACACGGUUGCGAUAGAAAGAAGGCGGUAGAGCGCGAGUGAGUGGUAGAGAUCGGUCCGCGGAAGAGAGGCGGAGCCGAUGCGCACACGCGCGGGGGCUGAGGAACUCGCUAACGGCCGCCGGAGCUGCGGCAGUGCCGUCGCGCGUGAAGGGGACGAAGCUGACAGGUGGGGUCGUCCUGUCAGCGUCUCGCAAGAGGGGGAGGGAGCCUGACGAGCAGGGCCCGCUCGUCAGCGACCACGCAGAGAGGGGGCAGCGCGCGCCGCGUCUGCGUGGACCGAGCCCUCGGGCCGACUUGGGCCGGGUCCAAGCAGGCCGCCAGCGUGGCACAGUGCCCUUUCCUUUUUUCCCUUUUUGUUUAAAAGUGCUUAAUGUUUGAAUUUGAAUAGUAAAUUCUGUGCUGAUCCAAAAAUCAUGAGGAUUUUUGUGUAGCUUCCAUAAGAUGUUUAGAGCAUAAGAAAAAUACUAGGUAUUGUGUUUUCUGGUAGUUUGCAUGUCUAUAAAAAUUGGCUCUUUAAUUAGUAAAUAAAACUUGCAUGAAUUUUAAUAAUUUAUUUGUAUGUUCAAAAAUCACCAAAAUUGGUGGAGAGCCUCUGAACAUUAUUCCCUGGCUCCACACAAAAUUUGGUGGCAUUUGGAUAAUAUUUGAAUAAAAUAUAAAUAAACCCUUAUUUAAUAAUUAAAUAAUAAUUCCAAAAUAAUUAGAUAGUGAUUAGUUAAAUCCUCAUAAUUAGGGUUGAGUGAUUUUGGGAUUGUGUGAUGACCUGAGGUCAUUAACCCUAAUGACCUUUGGCAUUUAAUUAUUGGUUGGCCUUAAUGCUUAAUUACUGUCAUUAGUAGUUAAUUAAGAUUUAAUUAAGGUAAAUAGGAUUAAUGAUUAGUUAAUUUAAGAUAAUUAUGAAUUAGGAAAAGUCUUAAUUUGCAGAUGCAUCCUCUUGGGUAAAGACACUAAGAUGUUAAGCAACUUUAUUUAUUGGUUAUUCUGUAUUGCACCGAGAAGGCAAGUUGUACUCGACUUGAUCCUUCUUGCAUAAUUGUCAUACGCACAUCAUGAGCAUUCAUCAUUUUGCGUAUAGUAUCCGUGACCGAAGGAGCGCCCGUUGAACCAAACCCCGAGGUCGGUGCUCCGUUCGAAGAAGUCGGAUCCGAGACUUGGGAAGUCUCCGAGGGUCCCUCUCUGCCCUGCAACCAAGGCAAGCCCCGGAUGCAUUAACCCCUCCUUGAUUGUUUUAAAUCUUUUAUCACUUAUGAAUUGAAAAUGCUGCAUUAGGAAGUUGAGAAUUGGGUUAACCUACUUGCUACAUUUACUACCUUGAUAUCUGUUAUCCUGUCCUUGACACCUGUUUUAUUUUAAAACUGCGUAGCGAUGCUUAGCCCUGCUACUAGAUAGAUUUUCAACAAGAAAGUUUGAAGGGUUGUUGUGGAAUACAUUUAUGAUCAAUGAUGUUUUAAUCUGAGACCGGUCGGUGGACUUGCUUUAAGAAUGGAGUCUUAAAGUAGUGUCUCCAACUGUGUCGAUUAAGGACCGGUCCGUUGAUGGCCCGCUGGGUUGAGAAUUUAUAGUACUGGCCACUUGCCUUCGGUAAGCCCGGUCUUGUGAUCCCUCGACGCGAACAGCUACUCGCGCACUGGGAGUGGAAAGAUGGCGAGAGUAGUGUGUACCCGCCUUACGGAUCUGAGAUGACCGGAAAACAUCUAGAUCGGCUGUAGGAUGGUGGAGUACUGUGCUCUCGGGUGCCGCGAACCUGGUCAAAUUUGGGGAGAGCUUGAUUUGGGUUGACAUAUGCAAGUUUUGGUUCUACAUAUGUCGGGUGGUUAGGAACUCCAGCUGGAUUGCUAAGCGGUUCGAAUCGUCGUUGCUCCCCGAUUGGGAGACUCAAUCCAGUGCCCCUCAUCGUAGUUAAAUAUGCAACUAAGUUGUAAAAUGAAAAAGGGGGAAAUGUCUCAUGAGGUUCGGAUCCCAAUUCCCGGACUCAUAGCGACAUGAAGCUAUGGCCAUCGAAUGAAUAAUACUUUAUUUUAGGACUAGAAACUCACAGACUUGUUUGUGGGGAAACAACUAGGUAGACUGUCCUCGAACUCCUCGGCCUCGACGGGGGAGGAAUUCGUAGGUAAAACUUGAAAGUAAGGAUGCACUAUUAGUAAGAUUUAUAGCAAAACACUUUGGCUCCUUGCUUAGCCACUCCUUGUCUACCCUAAGCCUGCAUUCCUAAGUUCUCCUCUUUUCCACCGGGUAAGUCUUGUUGAGUACCCCCGUACUCAGGGUUCCAAUACCCCUGUUGCAGGUGAAGCACAGGAGCCGACUUGUUUCGGACCCUGUUGUGUGACCGUCGUCGAGGUUGACGACGAAGAAGAGUGAGCGUGACCCAUGGGCAGGGUCUGUAAAUUUGUACUCUCUGUCCUAAAGUUUAAGUUGCUCCACUGGACCUGGCUUGUAAUAACACUCUGCUAUUUGGAAGAACUCCUUUUGUUAAAUAAGUUAUGUAAUACUUCCGCUGUUUUACUCUGAAAUAUUAUGUUGGUCGUAUGUCGUUUGUGGUACUGCAAUGUCUUCGCAACGAAUGAUCCUGGUGAUAAGGUGGCCACUUGCUGUCCUGUAAGGGCGAGAAGAAGAAGUUCUCGUUAAUUGACCAUCACCAGUGGUCAGGACGAGCCGGCUUGGCACGCCACAGGUAGCAGUGGAAUGAGCAUCCAGCGAUGCUCAUCGGACUUCUAAAGUGGGAGGAUCCCCGGCAUCGCCGUCAGAGGUCCUUAGGACAAUGACAGGUGCCGGUGGGCCCAAACACUUAGGGGGUUCUGCCACAAAGACUCAUUGUAAUCCAAGACUUAUGAUAUUGAGAAUACAAAUCACUUUGUUCAGCUGUGUGCUAACAAAUUCAGAGAGAGAUCUCUACCCCUUUGCUCUUGUGUUUUCCUUCGCGGAGAUUACAGAAGCGGCCGCGUCAUCGGCACCCAAUCCGUGCUCCUGAUCCUCGAGUUCAGGUUGCGUAGGUUGGCUCUUUGAGAGUGUGGUUGGGCGAAUCCUUGGUUCAGGCUGCCGUAUAGAGACGGUGGUUGGCUCCUUGUGCGUGUCGUCAGGUUGCACUAGUUAUCCUCGCUGCUUGCAGCAAGUUAUCGGCUGAUCUUCAGCUAGUUAUCCUACGUCGUGAAGAUCGGGACAACGACCUCACCAUCUGGUAUCAAAGCUCAAGUUUCCACGGUAGGAUUUUUACCCUUAGCUACAUAUAUAUAUCUUGUUCGUCCUAUCCACCAAAAAGCCAUAAAAAAAAUUGCAUUAGCCCUUUGUUUCAAUCUGUUUUUCUUGUGAGUUUGGUUAAGUUUCAGUCCAUUAGAGUUUUGUUUAGUUGCUGAUCAUCAUAUCCUUUGUGUGUCCUUUGUGCCUCUUUUAUAUCUACAAAUCCCUAAAUAAAAUCUAAAACUGGUAUCAUCCUUCGCGUAAACUUUGAGCCUAUCAAGUUAGAACGCUGACGGUUGUGUCUUGUUUAAAAAAAAGUGUGUGCAAGUGUUAUAUCUGCUCUUGUUCUUAGUUAUAAAAAAAGUAUCAAAAAAAGGAAAGUGAAAAAAAAGACUUGAGGAAGAAAAGUUGUGAAGAAAGAGUAGAAAAUUCACUCUGUUUAUGUGCUCAAGUUCUGAAUUUUAUAUCAAGUCACACAAUCAGUCAUUAUCCAUCUUUGGUGCAAAAUUUUGCUUGGGUUUGAUUGCAACACUUGCAUCCUAGGCAUACUCCUUGUUAGCAUCAAAUCUGAAUUAUCUUUGCGCGUGUGUUUGAUCUAUUUACAUCACUCAUAUCUUGUGGUCAGCACUAGGCAUUGAACUUCUAGUUUGGAUUGUGGUUUAACUUUACAAUAUCAAGAAUUCAGACUGCAUUCCUUGUGAAAUAUAUCCCCACCAAGCUCCACAAAUAACCCACCGUCAUAGGAAAAUACUGAUCUUGGAUUCUCCCAACCAUCAUUCUCGGUUACCACCUCGCAUUGGCCGUUGUAAUCUGCAGGGAACUCACAUGAGCUUCGGUUGGUAAGAGAGGUGAGAUUGUGAGAUUCCACAUAUAAUUCCCUAUUCUACAUAUAUUGUUGCUUUGCCUUCACUAAUUUUUUACAGCAAGAUGUCUGAGCAUCCGGAGAUUGAUGAUUGUGUCACCAUGGCACAAUUCGGUGAGAUGAAACAAAGCAUGGAGACGCUAACAAACAAUGUUCAAGCACUCAUGAACCGGUUGCAAAUCCAUCCUCAUGAUAAUGCAAAUGGCAGUCACCAUGAAGAUGAAGAUGAAGAAAGCGAAGGAGAAGCUGCUCGUCGUGCAAGGGAACGACGUAGAGAGCGAGCUGCUGCCAAUGCAAGAAGACCUCCUUUUCCACGACGUGAUCAUGGUGGUAGAGGUGCUGGUCAUGGACAUGGGAGAGGUAUUGGAUUGGAAGAAAGUGAAACUAAGGAAGAGGAUGAACAGUCCCAUUAUGAUGAUCGUCGUCACCGAAGAAAUCGUAGGCGUAAUCAGCACAAUGAAGAGAGGUUUGGCAAGUUAAAAUUCACCAUGCCCCAGUUUGAAGGAGGAUCUGAUCCUGAAGCAUAUCUUACAUGGGAGUUGAAGGUGGAUAAAAUUUUUCGUGUGCAUAAUUAUUCUGAGAGAAAGAAGGUUGCCAUGGCUGCUCUUGAGUUCGAUGGGUAUGCUCUAAUCUGGUGGGAGCAAAUGUUGAAUGAAAGAGAAGAAGCUAGUCAAGGUGAUGUUCGUUCAUGGGCUGAAAUGAAGAGAGAAUUGAGAGCAAGAUUUGUCCCCAAACAUUAUCGCCGUGAUUUAUUUGACAAGCUACAGAAUCUGAAGCAAGGAAGCCUCAGUGUUGAUGAGUAUUAUAAAGAGAUGGAGAAGGCGAUGAUUAGAGCCAAUGUAAUUGAAGAUGAAGAGCAAACAAUUGCAAGAUUUAUGUCAGGGCUGCAUCGGAAUAUUCAGCGCAUUGUUGAAUUUCAGCAAUAUCGUAAUCUUGUUGAAUUGGUGCAUCAAGCUAGCAAAGCUGAGCGGCAAUUGCAGCAGGAUAUGAAGUCCACUAGAGGAGUAUCUUUCAACACAAAGAGUGCAGCAAGUGGAAGUAAAUUUGCACCCAAAGGAAGUGGAAGUAAAGGUACAUUUUCCAGCUCAAACGGUGGUGCACGAUCUAGCAACCUUGGUUCUUUUAGUAGCAAAGAGUUGGCUGCUCAAAAUGAGAAAUUCAAAUCAGCAAACUCAGUGGGUUCUUCCAGCAAGAGUAGUGGAAUUCAGUGCUUUAAGUGUGGUGGUCGUGGUCAUGUUGCAAGAGAGUGUCCAAACGCUAGAACCAUCAUUGUGAAUGAUCAAGGGGAGUAUGAAUCUGCUAGUGAGGAAGAACAAGAAGAUAGUGGAAGUGAGAGUAAUCUUGAGAAGGACAUCUGUGAAUUUGAAUCUGGUGCUGCUCUUGUUGUAACUCAGAUUUUGAGUGUACAAAUGAGCGAUGCUGAAAAUGGACAGCGGCACAAUCUUUUUCAGACUAGAGCUAAAGUGCAAGAUAAGGUUGUCAAAGUGAUCAUUGAUGGUGGCAGUUUCCACAAUCUUGCAAGCAAAGAAAUGGUUGAAAAGCUUGGGUUGAAGCUGCUGAAACAUCCCCAUCCAUAUCAUGUGCAAUGGCUUAAUAAUUCAAGUUCUAUUAAGAUUGCACAAAGAGUGAAAGUUCCAUUCAAGAUUGGUGAAUAUAUUGACACUGUAGAGUGUGAUGUGGCGCCUAUGAAAGUGUGCCACAUGCUGUUGGGAAGACCAUGGCAAUAUGAUCGAUCGUCUCUACAUUGUGGUAGAACCAAUCAAUACACCAUCAAGUGGAAGAACAAGGAGUUGAUUCUUAAACCCAUGACACCGCAGCAAAUCCUAGCUGAGCACUUGCAAAAGAGCUCCGAAGUGAGGAAUGAGAGUGCAAAAGAAGGAGAAAAAAAUAAUUUGAGUGCCCUCCACAAAUCAGUGAGUGAGAGCCACAAGCCAAACAUGAGAGAUGACAGAAAAAGAGAGGGAGAGAACUUCGUGAUGAUAGCCACCAAAUCUGAAAUGAGAGAUGUGAGGAAAAACCCAUAUCAAGUACUAUUUGUACUUGUGUCCAAGGACACAUUGCUUUCAGCUAAUGACUUAACAUCUGUUCCUAGUGUUGUUGCACGUGUUUUGCAGGACUAUGACGAUGUUUUUCCAAAGGAAACACCUGCUGGACUUCCUCCUUUGCGCGGUAUUGAACAUCAAAUUGAUCUCUUCCCUGGAGCUGCACUUCCAAACCGUCCGGCGUACCGCACCAAUCCGGAAGAAACCAAGGAGAUUCAAAGGCAAGUACAAGAACUUUUAGAUAAAGGAUAUGUGCAAGAAAGUUUAAGUCCUUGUGCUGUUCCUGUGAUUUUGGUGCCAAAGAAAGAUGGUUCUUGGAGGAUGUGUGUAGAUUGUAGAGCCAUAAACAAUAUCACCGUUCGUUAUCGUCAUCCUAUUCCUAGGCUAGAUGAUAUGCUUGAUGAAUUGAGUGGUUCUAUGAUGUUUUCUAAAAUUGAUUUAAGAAGUGGUUACCAUCAAAUUAGAAUGAAGAUUGGAGAUGAAUGGAAAACUGCUUUUAAAACAAAGUUUGGGCUAUAUGAAUGGUUAGUUAUGCCUUUUGGUUUGACCAAUGCCCCUAGUACGUUCAUGAGAUUGAUGAACCAUGUCUUGCGAGCAUUCAUUAGAAAGUUUGUUGUUGUUUACUUUGAUGAUAUUCUAAUUUACAGCAAGACAGUGGAGGAACAUGUUGAUCAUAUUAAGCAAGGUUUGGAUGUGCUAAGAAAAGAAAAAUGAUUUGCUAACCUUGAGAAGUGCACAUUUUGUACAGAUCAGGUUGUGUUUCUUGGUUUUGUUGUUUCAGGUUCAGGAAUUCAGGUUGAUGAAUCAAAGGUGAAAGCAAUCAAGGAUUGGCCAACUCCUGAAAAUGUGAGUCAGGUGAGAAGUUUUCAUGGACUUGCUGGUUUUUACAGGAGAUUUGUGAGAGAUUUCAGCACCAUAGCCGCUCCGUUGAAUGAGUUAACAAAGAAAGGUGUUGCCUUCCAAUGGGGUGAACCACAAGAGAGAACAUUCCAAGAAUUGAAGAAGAACCUGAAGGAGUGGGAAGAGUGCUUGCCACAUGUGGAAUUCGCUUACAACAGGGCAGUACAUUCUACAACUAAUAUGUGUCCUUUUGAAGUUGUGUAUGGAUUCAAACCCCUUGCUCCGAUCGAUUUGUUGCCUCUACCAUUGUAGGAAAGGAUUAACAUGGAAGCAUCCAAGCGUGCAUCAUAUGUCAAGAAGAUUCAUGAGAAGACCAAAGAAGCAAUCGAAAGAAGGUCCAAGUACUAUGUUGAUUGGGCAAACAAGCAUCGCAAGAAGGUGAUAUUUGAGCCCGGAGAUUUAGUGUGGGUACAUCUUCGCAAAGACCGCUUUCCUGAGAAGCGUAAUUCCAAGUUGAUGCCACGGGGAGAUGGUCCAUUCAGAGUGCUGUCCAGGAUCAAUGAUAAUGCCUACAAGAUUGAGCUUCUUGAAGAUUAUGGUGUUAGCACAACCUUCAAUGUUGCUAACUUGACACCAUUCUUCGGAUUAGAAGAAUCAGAGUCGAGGUCGACUCCUUUUCAAGAGGGGGAGGAUGAUGAGGACAUCCCAACCAAGCAUGCUCCCUCUAAUUCCACUCCAACCUCUACACCGACUACGCCGGCACCAGCCCAUGUCAUCAAUGGACCGAUUACACGUAGUCGUGCAAAGAAGCUACAACAAGAGGUCCACGCGCUACUUUGUGAGAUUCAUUUUAACAUUAAUAAGAAUUAUAUACUAUCUAAGUGUUGUACCUUGGUUGUACUCAGGUAUAUAGAAGAAGAGAAGGAUAAAUCGGACCCUGAAGAACGGACCAGUGCAAGUUCUAGAAGAAGUCAAAAACGGACCAGUGGAAGUCAAAAAUGGACCAGUGAAAGAAAUCUUUAUAACUUUUUACUCACAAAAGCUAUGAAGGUCCAUGAGCACUUGUUGGAAAGCUUGAUGAGUCUACUUUCCAAUGAGUCUAGUGGCGACCAGUUUGGAUACUCCAUAUUUCCUGCAGACCAAAAUUAGUACAGACUACUCAGAAGGUCAACAGUCUGUCGUGACAGAAUAUUGGUACAACUUGCCAAGUGAAACUGUACCAAUCUACAGCGUUUUAUGGUGCAUGGAAUACAUUGAUGGAAAGCUCUUGGAGUUUAGUUUCACACCCAAGAAACGGUUCAUCAUUUGGACUUCCCAAUAAAAAGUUAUGGUCAGUUUAUUGGAAACUGCUCUGGAGGCCAACAGUCACGCGAAGCCACUUCGGAAAUCCAUUUCGAGGGGACCUUUCACAUUACCUUCCCUCAAAAACUCUAUUUCGUUUUCAUACCUAUCUAGCAGGGCUGUUGCUAGUAUAAAUACCCCCUAAGACUCAUUGUAAUCCAAGACUUAUGAUAUUGAGAAUACAAAUCACUUUGUUCAGCUGUGUGCUAACAAAUUCAGAGAGAGAUCUCUACCCCUUUGCUCUUGUGUUUUCCUUCGUGGAGAUUACAGAAGCGGCCGCGUCAUCGGCACCCAAUCCGUGCUCCUGAUCCUCGAGUUCAGGUUGCGUAGGUUGGCUCUUUGAGAGUGUGGUUGGGCGAAUCCUUGGUUCAGGCUGCCGUAUAGAGACGGUGGUUGGCUCAUUGUGCGUGUCAUCAGGUUGCACUAGUUAUCCUCGCUGCUUGCAGCAAGUUAUCGGCUGAUCUUCAGCUAGUUAUCCUACGUCAUGAAGAUCGGGACAAUGACCUCACCAGUCUAUGUCUGGGACGAACCACGUGAUAAGAUUACACCACAAAGGAUGCUUAUCCAUAGGCCAAUAAACCCAACCCGUCCUGCUAACGAGAGGUGGACUACAGAGGACCAACGUAACUGUCACCUACGCAGCCUACCACACGAUCCAGCUAGACAGGAGAUAUCCACAAGUAAUCUAGGUCUAAGCACCACGCUUACACCUAUACUACAACUCUCACCUAUAGCGUCCUAUAGAUUAAAGUACUCAAAAGUGUUGUGAACCAGAACAUACAUGAUUAGUAAUUGCAUAAUGAAUUAGAAGUAGAUUACCAGAGUCAUCCCAUGAGCAAGCUUGAUUAGAGCUUGAUCAUGACGAAGUACAACCGGAGGAAGAACCGACAGGCCGGCCUCUCCUCUAAUCCUCCUUCGCUCUCCAUCUCGCUACUAUCUAGAUCUACUCUAGUUUAGAGAAGAGAGGAGAGCUCUCAUCUCUAAACCCUAGCUUUUGCUCUGUCUAUGAAUAAUGAUCAAGGGGUGCCUCCUCUAGGGGCCAGGGGGUCUGGUUUUAUAGUCCCCUCAAGUGAACCUGGGCCGUCAGAUCAAACCGACAUAGAUUGAACGGUUAUCCUUGAUCCUUUAGGUCGGUGGAGAUCUCCCGAGAAACAGAGUCCUGAUUGGACUCCAAGUCAGGGCGGGCGCCCAGGGCAGGAGGGCGGGCGCCCUGCCUCUGGCCCCGUUCGGCCUCCGCUUUCUUCCCGUGGCUUCUGGAGUCUUCUAGAUGUAAGAUAAUUGCGUGGCACGUUAAUAUCUCUAUGUAAUCCCGACGUGUGGGCGUUUCUUCCGUAUUUCUUGAUAACCCCCUGCAGAAAUAGACAAACACCAAAACUUGUGGAAUUCUGUCAGAUAAAACCUUAAGUCUAGAUGUUGAUUUCAUUUGGAUCCUUUUCUUUGUUUAUUUGAUAAUUAAAUUUGAUACUUAAGGACCGUCAACAAUGGCAUCAAUAGAUCUCCUACUAAUUUCAAUUCCUCUCUGAUGCACCAUUGUUGACUGUCCUUAAUGCUCACAUUUAACCAUCAAUAAUCAUGGAAAAGGAUCCAAAUGCAACCAACAUCUAGACUUAGGGUUUUGUGUGACAAAAUUCCACGAGUUUUGGUGUUUGUCUAUUUCUGCAGGGGGUUAUCAGGAAAUAUGAAAGAAAAGCCCACACGUCGGGUUUACAUAGAGAUAUUAACGUGUCGCGCAAUUUUCUACCAUCUAGAAGACUCCAGAAGCCACGGGAACGAACGGGAGGCCGAUCGGGCCUGGCGGCAGGGCGCCUGCCCUCCCCCCUUGGGUGCCCACCCAGCUACAGUAACCAAUCAGCUUCAACUUCGCGGAUCGUGCUCCACUGACCUAAAGGAUCAAGAAAAACCGUGCGAUUAAUGUCGGUUUGAUCUGACGGCCCAGAUUCAUCUGAAAAGACUAUAUAAGCAAGGCCCCCUGGCCCCUGGAGAUCAUACCUCUUCUACAGAAUCAAAGCUAGGGUUUCAAUUCUUCAUCCAAGUAGAGAGGAUCCCUCUAGUUCUUCUAGUUCUACCUCUAGUUCAUCUAGAUCUAGUUCUAGUUUAUCUAGUUCUAGUUCUAGUUCUUCUAGUUCUAGUUCUAGUUAGUUCUAGUUGUAAUCUAGAAAAUAGGGAGAGAGAAGAGGAGAGCGGAGGAGGAGCCGGAUCUGUCAGAUCUUCCUCAACAUUGUACUUUUGCAGCAACUGGUUUGUUCUUCAUCGUUCUCCAGGUUCUUCAAUUCAUAAUCCUAAGUUCUUUAAUUACUUUUAUUUACAUUCAAGUUAUUUAUUGGAUUCCCGCUUGCAUCAAGUGCUCUAAUCUUUGCAACAUUAGAGUAGUAAUUAAUAGAUUAGACAUGGUGUUUAGUCUUGCAAUUACCUGGAAUUGCACCCAAUCCUGCGGAUUGUUGUGGUAGCCUUAGGGUAGUGACAGCCCUAACAGUCGACGUAUUCCACCUCGUUCGGAUCGGUGUUUGUAGGACCGUAGUCAGACCUUCCUAGCUCCCUUCUCAUCUCUUUCUGUGGUUAGUGCUCUGAUGUCCCGAAAUAAAUAAUCUUGAAGUAAUUCUUGAUUCUUAGAUCAACUAGAGAACUCUCAGGAAACUUCUUCUCUUCCCACCAAAAAUAAUUAUAUAGUAAUCCUUGGGCGAUCUUGAAUCUUAAUUAGUACACUCACGUUCCCUGUGGAAAAUCGAUACUCUGGAAUACUCCCGGGUGAAAGCUACAUCGGUAUCCGUGCGCUUGCGGAUUUUUCUGUUUGCGUUUAAAAUACCCAACAAGCUUUCUGGCGCCGUUGCCGGGGAACGGUAGCUGUGCUAGUUUCGAACCAAGUCGUCCGUGUAUCCUUUUUCUUUUCCCUUUUACCACACUCACCUUACCAUUUUCACCACACCACAUGGAUUUCACUCCUAUCUAUAAAUUCUUUGCUCCAAAGGGUGAGUUAUUAGAGCCACCACCAUCAUCACAUCCAAUUCUUACAAAUGGCUACGACCUCGGCCCUGAUCUAAUAGCCAUGAUUCAGGAGCAACCCUUCUCUGGGCAAGUAGAUGAAGAUCCAUACACCCACCUAGAGAAUUCGAGCAGUUGUGCUCUUGCCGAUCUAUUUCCGGCAUGACACAAGACACCCUUAAAUGGAAAUUAUUUCCGUUCUCCCUUUUGGGAAGAGCAAAAAAGUGGUAUGCUCAUUCUAUAGGAGGCGUUAAUGGAAAAUGGGAUGAACUUCGGGACAACUUUUGUCUCGCUUUCUUCCCACUUUUUCGAAUUGCUGAGCUUAGAAUUGAAAUUCUUACAUUCAAACAAAGAGAGAAGGAAACUUUAGGAGCAGCUUGGGCUAGGUUCACAAGCCUUACCAAUUCCGGUCCAAACCUUUCCCUGCCUGACCAUGUACUGUACUAUCACUUUUAUCGUGGUCUAAACAAGGAAGCUGCUCUUCACCUCUACAUUGCUUCAGGAGGCUCAUUCACACACAAACUCAUAGAUGAGGGGAGAGCUAUCCUAGAAAGAAUUCUUGAAAAUACCCCUUACACAGGAAUUUAUGAUGAGUUUCCUGAAGGAGAAAAAGAAGUCGAGCCUAAUCCUAUACCAAAAGAUGAGGAACUUGCAACCGAGUUAGAAAUUCCACCUGACCCAUCCAUUAAUUUGGUUGUAGAGAAACCUCCUGAUAAAGGAAUGCAAAACCAACUAAGGGAUGAUGAACCACCACCUUUAGAGCAUCCCUUUGAAUUCGAGGAAGAUCUUUUUGAAGAUUAUGGAAACACCUCGAAUUUUCCCAUCCAAACACGACCUCUAGUAGGGACCACUCAAUUCAUUCUAAGAGAAGAAUCUGUUGACAUAGAACACAUCAAAAGCCUAUCGGCUAUUCUGAGUUAUGAAUGGCUAACAGAAACAGAGCUGUCUCUUGAGGUAGCUCAAAUCAUCACUCCUUCAACCAUUCUUUUGUGCCAAAUUAGACGGUCCGCUAGGAAGGUCCACUACAAUCCAUAUGUUGGGAUAAAUGUUAUUUCCAAGGAGUUAGCUGACACUCUUUAUCCCAACGAGUCCAUAACCCCAUCUCAAAAACUUUUACAAAGUCCAUCUAGAUUAAUUCUAGAAAGCCAUGGGGUAUUAAGGGCAGUUCCUGUUCGAAUCAAGGACUCUAGAGUAUGUCUAGAUUUUCACAUUUUUGACAUACCAGAGAUUCCUCUCUUGAUUGGCAGACCAAUCAUGAAACUUCUACAAGAACAACCACAACAAGGUCAUUUAGACUUCAAGGUUGGGAAUUCCACCAUUGUUGUUCCUCUUGCUAGAUCAAUUAACAUGAUAGUGGAACCCAAACUUAAACCAGAUCCUAUUGAGGAGAUCUUAAUGCUGACUCAAGAGGAGAUGGCCCAACCAUUCUUUAAUCAUGAACACUUUGUUCAAGAAGAAGAAGAGUUGGUAGAACCCGUUGAGCUAGACAAAAAUGAACAACCUUCACCUCCUAUGAUAGAGUUAAAACCUCUUCCUUCUGGCCUUAGAUAUGUCUUUUUGCACAACAACCCAAAAACUCUAGUAAUUAUCAGUGACAAGCUUUUCGAUUAUGAAACACAACUUGUCACUGUUCUUGAAAGGCAUAGAUCAGCAUUUGGCUACUCUCUCGAGGAUCUCACGGGCAUUAGUCCCAUUCUCUGCACUCAUCGUAUCCCUAUUGAUCCUAAUUUUACACCUUCAAGGGAACCACAACGGAGACUUAACAAUGCUAUGCGAGAGGUUGUUAAGAAAGAGGUCCUCAAACUCUAUCAUGCUGGGAUUAUUUAUCCUGUGCCACAUAGUGAGUGGGUUAGCCCUGUCCAAGUAGUGCCAAAGAAAGGAGGAAUGACGGUCGUUAGGAAUGAAAAGAAUGAACUCAUCCCUCAACGAAUUGUCACUGGGUGGCGUGUGUGUAUUGACUAUCGAAAACUCAAUAAGGCUACAAAGAAAGAUCACUUUCCGUUACCCUUCAUUGAUGAAAUGUUGGAACGGCUUGCAAACCACUCUUUCUUUUGUUUCCUUGAUGGUUAUUCUGGGUAUCACAAAAUCCCAAUCCACCCAGAUGACCAAGAAAAGACUACCUUUACAUGCCCGUAUGGAACUUAUGCAUACCGACGAAUGUCGUUCGGACUAUGCAGUGCUCCAGCUUCUUUCCAACGGUGCAUGAUGUCUAUUUUCUCGGACAUGAUUGAGAAAAUCAUGGAGGUUUUCAUGGAUGAUUUUACCGUCUAUGGCAAAACCUUCGAUCAUUGUUUGGAGAAUUUAGAUAGAGUCUUGCAGCGAUGUGAAGAAAAGCACUUAAUCCUAAAGUGGGAGAAAUGCCAUUUUAUGGUUCAGGAAGGAAUAGUGCUAGGACAUAAAGUGUCCGAACGUGGUAUAGAGGUGGACAAAGCAAAGAUUGAAGUUAUUGAAAAACUUCCACCUCCCACGAAUGUGAAAGGAAUCUGUAGCUUUUUGGGACAUGCAGGAUUCUAUAGACGCUUUAUCAAGAAUUUCUCUCAAAUUGCUAGACCCCUAACUAAUCUCCUAGCUAAGGACGCACCUUUCAUCUUUAGUGAUGAGUGUCAUGAAUCUUUUCAAACUCUUAAGAAAGCACUCAUCUCAGCCCCGAUUAUCCAACCACCUGAUUGGAAUCUUCCUUUUGAGAUCAUGUGUGAUGCUAGCGAUUUUGCGGUUGGUGCCCUUUUAGGACAAACCAAGGAUAGAAAGCAUUAUGCCAUAUCCUACGCUAGCAAAACCUUGUCUGGACCACAGCUCAAUUACACUACAACUGAAAAAGAGCUUUUGGCUGUUGUCUUUGCUAUAGACAAGUUUAGAUCUUACUUAGUGGGGGCAAAGAUAAUCAUCUAUUCAGACCAUGCUGCUCUCAAGUACCUCCUCACUAAGAAAGAUGCUAAGCCUCGUCUAAUUCGAUGGAUUCUUCUACUCCAAGACUUUGACAUAGAGAUCCGAGAUAGGAAGGGAGUUGAGAAUUCCGUAGCCGACCACUUAUCUAGGCUUCAAUAUAAGGAAACACAUGAUGUGCUUCCCAUAAAUGACUACCUAAGGGAUGGCACCCUACUUAAGAUAACACAUGCAGAUCCAUGGUAUGCAAACAUCGUAAACUUUAUAGUAAAAGGCUAUGUCCCACCUGGUGCAAACAAAAGGAAGUUGCUUCACGAUAGUCGUUUCCACCUUUGGGAUGAGCCAUAUCUUUUCCGAGUCUGCGCUGAUGGACUCUUGAGAAGGUGUGUUCCUAUGGCUGAGGCUACUCAAAUUAUGGAAAGAUGCCAUGCCUCGCCAUAUGGAGGACACUAUGGAGCAUUUCGGACACAUGCUAAAAUUUGGCAAAGUGGUUUUUUCUGGCCAACGAUGUAUGAAGAUACAAAGGACUUUGUCAGGAGAUGCCACCGGUGUCAAAAACAUGGGAAUAGUAACUCACGAAAUGAAAUGCCUCUCACAAAUAAUCUUCAAGUAGAACUUUUCGAUGUUUGGGGCAUUGAUUUCAUGGGGCCAUUCCCUAUGUCCGGGAACUGCGAGUAUAUCUUGGUAGUUGUGGACUACGUGUCCAAAUGGGUAGAAGCCCUACCUUGUCGAUCAGCUGAUUCAAAACAUGCCAAGAGAAUGUUCCAUGAAGUAAUCUUUCCUCGCUUUGGUAUACCCCGGAUAGUUAUAAGCGAUGGAGGUUCCCACUUCAUCGACAAAAUCUUCCGGAAGUACCUAGCCGAUCAUGGAGUUCGACACAACGUCGCAACACCAUACCAUCCUCAGACUAGCGGUCAAGCCGAAACAUCUAACAAACAAAUCAAAAAUAUUUUACAAAAGACCAUAGAUGAGAUGGGUAAGGGGUGGAAGGACAAACUUUCUGAUGCACUUUGGGCAUAUAGAACUGCAUUCAAAGCACCCAUAGGCAUGUCACCUUAUCAACUUGUAUAUGGAAAAACUUAUCACUUGCCUAUGGAAGUAGAGUUUAAGGCUCAUUGGGCACUCAAGAAAUGUGGAUCUCCACCUCGCUAGCGAGAAUCGUCUGAUGCAACUAUCUGAGCUAGAAGAAUGGAGAGAGAAAGCCUACCACAAUUCAAGAAUCUAUAAAGAGAGAACAAAACGCUGGCAUGAUAAGAGAAUCAAGCACAAGGAGUUUAAGCCUGGAGAUAAGGUUCUACUAUUCAAUUCAAGAAUUAAGCUCUUUGGGCAUGGUAAGCUACGAAGUAAGUGGGAUGGACCAUACAAGGUUAUUGACACUUCAACUCAUGGAGCCAUUACCAUCCAAGACGACAUAGGUAACACUUUUAAGGUAAAUGGUCAACGCUUGAAAAUCUAUCUCGAGCCACAAAACAACCUGGUAGAGGAACUUGAUGUGAUUGAGUUCAUAGAAUUCUCACAUUAAGCUCUCAUAAGCUCUAGACAAUUACCUAACCCUUAACAUGUUCCACAAGUUUUGUUGUCUAUUUUGGUUGUGCAGGAUUUUGAGGCUUAAGAAGAGUGAGACCGAACAUGCAGGCCACAAGAGUGAACGACUAUGUCAACAUCCAGCUUGGGGGAGGCACCCCCACGUGUAUCUAGAUAAGUAUUACUUUUCUUUCUUGGUUUUAUUUACUAGUAUUCGGAAAUAAAAAAAAUGCAUAACCAUGAAACCAAACAAAGUUUUUCUUUUGAGUAAUAUACAAUAGUUUUGUGUAAUCCUAAGUUUUAAAUAAAAUAAAAAGAAAGUUUGAUUCAAGUCUAGGUAAUUGACAAACAUGAUAUGAGAAGGUCUGAGCUCUAUUUAACUUGUUCCAAGUUUUGCUAGAGUUCUGGAGAUUUUAUCUUUUGAAGAUCUAAAAAUUCAUAAAAAAAUAUAUGAGAUCAUAAUACCUAGAGUCUUAUAAGAUAUAAAUAUUAAAACUGUGGGCACUUGCUUUGUUCAAGCCAUUAUUAAUUCUUGUAGUUUUGGUUGAGAGAAUUAUCAUGCUCCCAAGAUCAAGAUCUUUUUGUUUUAAAAAUAUAAAAGAUUCACUCUUCUGAAGUAUUAUUGUGUUAGAGGCAUGGGACUAUGCAAAAAUUUGAUUCGAAAAAAGAGUGAGACGAGAGGUAAAAAUGGACAAGUGUCUGAAGUAGAAUUAGGGGUACAAAGAUACCCACCUGAGUGGAAAAAAUGGACAUGUGUCCGACAGUAGAAUUAGGGGUACUUGCUGCCCACUUGAAAAAAAGAGACUGAAAAAAAAGAGAAAAAAAGAAAAAAAUGAUAGCCCAUGGUCCCUCUAAUAAGCAAUAUGCCAGUAAGAGAUGACAAACUUUUCAAAAAGGUCAAAGGUCUUGAUCUAGGAGUAUGACAUUCCUCUCCCUUGUUCCGAGCAUUGACAUAGCAAAAUGCAAAGUAAGUAUGCUAAAAUUUUUAAAGCUCUACUUAUAUAUCUUUCGAGAAGAAGGCAAAUGCCUCAGUUUUAUUUUGGAAACUUACAAACAACUCCAGAACAAAGGUAAGACAGAAGAGCUUGAGACAUAGUGCUUGACUUGAUCGUUCUGUUUUUCAAUCACUUAAGACUUUAGUGAUAACUUAAAACCCUGUAGUAAAAGGCAUUAAAGUAACCCCUGUUUUCUUGCUGAUUUUAGCUUUGCUUAGGGACGAGCAAAGGUUAAGCUUGGGGGAGCUUGUUGACGGUCCUUAAUGCUCACAUUUAACCAUCAACUAAUCAUGGAAAAGGAUCCAAAUGCAACCAACAUCUAGACUUAGGGUUUUAUCUGACAAAAUUCCACGAGUUUUGGUGUUUGUCUAUUUCUGUAGGGGGUUAUCAGGAAAUAUGAAAGAAAGGCCCACACGUCGGGUUUACAUAGAGAUAUUAACGUGCCGCGCAAUUUUUUACCAUCUAGAAGACUCCAGAAGCCACGGGAACGAACGGGAGGCCGAUCGGGCCCGGGGGCAGGGCGCCCGCCCUCCCCCCUUGGGUGCCCACCCAGCUACAGUAACCAAUCAGCUUCAACUUCGCGGAUCGUGCUCCACCGACCUAAAGGAUCAAGGAAAACCGUGCGAUUAAUGUCGGUUUGAUCUGACGGCCCAGAUUCAUCUGAAAAGACUAUAUAAGCAAGGCCCCCUGGCCCCUGGAGAUCAUACCUCUUCUACAGAAUCAAAGCUAGGGUUUCAAUUCUUCAUCCAAGUAGAGAGGAUCCGUCUAGUUCUUCUAGUUCUACCUCUAGUUCAUCUAGAUCUAGUUCUAGUUCAUCUAGUUCUAGUUCUAGUUCUUCUAGUUCUAGUUCUAGUUAGUUCUAGUUGUAAUCUAGAAAAUAGGGAGAGAGAAGAGGAGAACGGAGGAGGAGCCGGAUCUGUCGGAUCUUCCUCAACAUUGUACUUUUGCAGCAACUGGUUUGUUCUUCAUCGUUCUCCAGGUUCUUCAAUUCAUAAUCCUGAGUUCUUUAAUUACUUUUAUUUACAUUCAAGUUAUUUAUUAGAUUCCCGCUUGCAUCAAGUGCUCUAAUCUUUGCAACAUUAGAGUAGUAAUUAAUAGAUUAGACGUGGUGUUUAGUCUUGCAAUUACCUGGAAUUGUACCCAAUCCUGCGGAUUUUUGUGGUAGCCUUAGGGUAGUGACAGCCCUAACAGUCGACGUAUUCCACCUCGUUCGGAUCGGUGUUUGUAGGACCGUAGUCAGACCUUCCUAGCCCCCUUCUCAUCUCUUUCUGUGGUUAGUGCUCUGAUGUCCCAAAAUAAAUAAUCUUGAAGUAAUUCUUGAUUCUUAGAUCAACUAGAGAACUCUCAGGAAACUUCCUCUCUUCCCACCAAAAAUAAUUAUAUAGUUAUCCUUGGGCGAUCUUGAAUCUUAAUUAGUACACUCACGUUCCCUGUGGAAAAUCGAUACUCUGGAAUACUCCCGGGUCAAAGCUACAUCGGUAUCCGUGCACUUGCGGAUUUUUCUGUUUGCGUUUAAAAUACCCAACAACCAUGAAACCAAGAAAUUGCCCUGCUGAUACACCAAAUGCACACUUGUUAGGAUUCAUCUUCAAACCAUGUUUCCUUGUGCACUCCAACACCUUUCGCAGAUCGGUAAGAUGCCUUGUGAAAUCCCCAGACUUAACCACCAUAUCAUCAAUGUAAAUUUCUACCAGCUUGCCAAUGAACUCAUGAAAGAUAAAAUUCAUAGCUCUUUGAUAAGUAGCACCAGCGUUUUUCAAGCCAAAGGUCAUGACUAUCCAUUCAAACAACCCAACAUGACCAGGACAUCUAAACGCGGUCUUUGGAAUAUCUUCUUCAGCCAUGAAUAUCUAAUUAUAUCCUGCAUUACCAUCCAUAAAGCUAAUGAUCCGAUGUCUAGCUGCAGCAUCAACUAGCAAAUUGGCAACUGGCAUUGGAUAACCAUCCAUCGGUGUAGCCUUGUUAAGAUUCAUGAAAUCAAUGCAGACUCGAAGCUUCCCAUUUUUCUUGUAAACUGGAAUGACAUUGGAAAUCCACUCGGCAUACCGACAUUGCCGAAUAAAUCUAGCUUCGAUAAGUUUAGUUAUUUCGGCCUUAAUAUCAGGAAGAAUAUUAGGAUUACAUCGACGAGCUGGCUGCUGAUGUGGCCGAAAUCUAGAUUUGAUAGGUAAUCGAUGUUCAACAAUAGAUCGGUCUAAACCAGGCAUCUCGGUAUAAUCCCAAGCAAAGCUAUCUUUAUAUUCCCUUAACAAAUCAGUUAACUGUUGCUUACACUCAGAAUCUAACUUAGCACUAAUAAACGUAGGCCUAGGCCUAUCACCAUUACCUAUAUCUACUUCUACUAAAUCAUCGGCCGAUGUAAACCCCUGUCCUAAUUUUCCAUCAUCGGCAAACCUAUCCAUUAAAACUCCUCGUCAAAACCGACUGCUUGGAUCGAUGGAAUUUUGUAAUCGGCAACCUUGAGAAAAUUCUUCUCCCAAAUUUCUCCCGAGAUGCAUCUGGUCCUUUCAUAAGUAUCUGCCUCUGCCGAUGCUAUAACAUAUGAAGAAUCUCCUGGGACAAUCUCAAUCUUGUCACCUACCCACUAAACCAAACAUUGGUGCAAUGUAGAUGGGAUGCAACAAUUGGCUUGGAUCCAAUCUCUUCCCAACAGUAGAUUAUAAGCACCCUUUCCACUGAUAACAAAGAAAGUCGUCGGCAAGGUUUUGCUAUCGAUGGUCAACUCAACACAUAUUGCUCCCUUAACCGGAGACACAUUCCCUUCAAAGUCCUUCAACAUCAUAUUGGUCUUGGUCAAGUCUUGAUCUCCUUUCCCAAGUUUCCGAUAGACUGCAUAUGGCAUGAUAUUCAUAGCAGCCCCACCAUCAAUAAGUAUUUUGGUCAUCGGCUGUCCAUCAACCCUACCUUUGACAAAUAGAGCUUUAAGAUGCUGUCUUUCAUUAUUGGCAGGCUUUUCAAAGAUAGCCGUCAUUGGACCCAGAGCCAAUUGAGCUAUCUGGUCGGAAAAAUCCACCUCAUCAUCACUGGCAGGCGCAAGGAACUCCAUCGGCAACAUAAACACCAUAUUAACAUCUGCCGAUGGCCCUUUUCCCUUAGGAUCUGGCCGCUGCUGAUCUUCAGACUUAGCAGAAUUCUCUCCUUUACUCAGCUCUUCUCGUCUUUCACGCUGCAGCCUUCUUUUCUAUGUCCUGGUCAACCACUCUGGACACCAUGGAGGAAGUUGGGGCUGCCUUACCGAUUGGCGACGAUUCUCUCUUAAUUCCAGUCGAUGAGUAUUAGCAUCUCUGCAAAAUAUGAACUCAUCGGGAACCCGUGCAUCUGCCAUCUCCUCAAGCUCCUCUUGGUUUCUAGGAAAAUACCCGACACGGUCACCAAGCCUGUCAUGCACACUGAGCCUGCCCCCCAGCCGAUUAUGAACCGAGGCUCUUCCCCUAAUCGGCCCAUCAAAACGCCGAUCAUUGUUUUGAUACUGCCGAUUUGGUCUAUCAUAUCGAUCAUAGCCAUUGCACUCAAGGCAGUCUCUAACAGUGGGCAGCUUGAUAUUUUGCUCCCAACAGUGGAUAAAGAACGGGCAGUUCCAGUGAUCCUUAUGCCGAUUCCACUCUUGUCGUCAUCUUUCUUCUUCCCGACAACGAUCCUCCUGUUUGCACCGAUACCGAUCCUCACGCUGCUGCCAAGUCUCCCGAUGCCUUCUAUGAGUAAUCACAAUGCCAGAUCAGGGAGGUCUUCCUGAGCUAGUUCCUUCCUGGAUCAAACCUUUGCCCUUGGCAUCAUCGGCAGUAAUCUGGUGCUGAGGAUCUACCGACGCACUUCUUUCAGCUGCCUCUGAUGUCAAGACUUUGGUCUUCCCCUUAGCGUCCAACAUAUUUGUAGGGAAAGGAUGUUGAUCGAUCUUCAUCGGCUUUUGAGCUUUGGAGCUAUCAAACUUAAUUCUUCCAGAUUCUAUAGCCGAUUGCAGCUGUUGUCUGAAGACCUUGCAUUCUUUGUGCUGUGAGAUGUUGCAUUAUGCCACUUGCAGUAUUUCAUCUUCUUUAAUUCCUUAGCCGAUGGAAUCACGUGAUUGGGCGACAACUUGAUUUGCCCUUCCUGAAGUAGAAAAUCAAAUAUCCUAUCGGCUUUGGUGAUGUCAAAUGCAAACUUCUCUAGCUCUUUAUGCCCAUAAGGGCAAGACAUCGGCUUCUUAUUUUCACCCAUUCUGCCAAGCCGAUGACUGGUUCUUGAUCAGAGUCUGAGCUUGUCGUUUCAUCGACAAAUGACACCUUUUUUCUCCAUGCCCUCUUUGGUUCAAAAGCCUUGAUAUCUUGGUCUGAGAUCCUCUACACCAAAUGACUCAGACUCUUGAAUUCCUAUGAAGCAUAUUUGUCUCUGAUAUGCAGCAACAAUCCCUGGAAAUCCAAAUUGGCUAGCUGCCGAUCGUCCAGAACCAGGCUAUAGCAUUUAUUCUUAACAUCCUGCAACCUUUGAACAAAACUUUCAACCGAUUCGUCAUUACGUUGUUUCAACCUGAAUAAAUCGGUAAUCUUCUUCUCAUGAACUCCAGAAAAGAAGUAUUUAUGAAACUGUUUCUCUAGAUCAGCCCAAGUGAUCACUGAAUUAGGAGGUAAUGAGAUAAACCAAGUAAAGGCCGAUCCAGACAAAGAUGAUGAGAACAAGCGAACCCUUAACUCAUCUCUAUUGGCAGCUUCUCCACACUGGAUGAUGAACCUGUUAACAUGCUCCAUGGUCGAUGUAUCAUCCUGCCCAGAAAACUUGGUGAAAUCUAGUACCUUGUACCGAUUUGGAAGUGGAAUUAAGUCAUAUGCAGGAGGAUACGGUGUCCGAUAAGAGUAAGUGUUGACUUUGGGUUUUAUCCCAAAUUGGUCUCUCAUCACCUCAGCUAUCUUAUCGGCCCAAUAAGCAUCGGCAUCUUGCCGAUGGGGCGGUUGUGGAUCUGGCACCUGCUGAUAAGCUUCAACAUGUCUCUGUGGUGCAUGAUCUCCAGGGAACAUCGGAUUAACCAUCGUCUGCUGACCACCAACUUGCUGACCAAGAUUCAUCGGCUGGUUGAUCUUCUGAAACCCAGGUUGCAUCAGUCCCUGCUGAAAUCCCAUAGCCUAAUGAUUCUGCUGAGGUGGCUGUGGAAAGACAAACUGCCCUGUCCAUCCAUUGUUAACAUUCAUCGGCGUAGGUCCUGCCGAUGACUGAUAAUUGGGCAUCAUCAUUGAAUUGACAUACCCGGGCUGUGUCAUAAACCUCUGUUGCGUCGGCAUUGGUUCUGCCGAUGCAUUAGGCAUCUGGAACGUUGGCGCUUGAGAAUUCCCAGUGAAAGGUCUUGCAGUAGUUGUUGUAGAAUACCGGGGAUUCUGAGCCAUCGGCAAGCUUGGAGGCGCCGAUGCCAUAGGAGCCUUGCCUGUCAUAUCAGCCACUUGAGAUGUUCCAGGGCUUUUUGUUGUAAACUCUCGAUGCAUACCAUACCCCCACCAAUUAGGAGGAACAGUACCUGACAUUGCCAAUGCCAACAGAUCUGUAGCAAGUUUGACUUGUCCCUCUGAUGUUGAUGGAUUGGUUGUCAUUGGUGUAGAUUGCGCAUUAGUUAUCCCUAAUGUGCUUGGAGGAGAAGUAGCUUCUGUACCCGCAACGGCUGUGGUAGCCGAUGGAGCUGUAACCAAUGAUGACCCUGGCUGAUGAUAGGCAGGACCCAUAUAAGAUGGUGGUACUUGUCCUUCUUUGAAAGUUCUAGCCACAGCGUUGAAAACCGUAUUGGACAGUACACCAGAUUGAUUGAUCAGAGCACGGUUGACAGCACUAUCAACCAUCUCUUGCAAUUUACCAGGAUUUGCUUCGAAAGUAAUUUGCCGAGGCAUCGGCAAUGCUUCCUUCUGGAUCACUUCGCCACUCCUAUUGAUGCUGAAGGAUUUGAAGCAUAACUGCUUGUAGUCCUCCAUAGCUUUUGCCAUAGCUUGCUUCUGCUCAUCUCUGAGAUUGGCUCCGUCACAGGGAUGACGUUCUCCAAGUCGAAGUUGGUGUUCGACAUGUUGAUCUUGAUCUUUAAUCUUUGUCCCACUAGGCGUGCCAAAAGAUGUGUUGAUGCAAAAGCUGAUCUGCAAACACAAAGGGCUAAUACCCGAUUCAAACGUUAAGGCGUGCCAACCGAUUUGACCUUACAACCGACAAAGGUGGUAUCUCGAACACUUUGGUCCCGACAACAGCGAUGCGCUCGAAUGUCACGGCCAAGAGGUGCUCACGUGGAACUCGAGAAUUCGUCGAGAUUGACUCGAAGAAUCCUUAAGAACUCAUAAUAAAAAGAAAAUAUGACGAAGUCGUCGAAAAAGUAGAUGCAGGAAUAUGUGUAAAAACUUGUGUUUGAUUGAUUGAUAGAUAUAUCAUUACAUUGCCACGGGGUCUAUAUUUAUACCCUGCCUCAAAGAGCUACAAUCAUACACGACUAGGACUCAAACUCCAUAUUAAACAAAAUCUGUAUACAAAACAAACUCUAAUAACUAUGGAAAGCAUUAAAUUAUCCUCCACAACCGAUCGGUACACCAUCACGAGUCAAUCGGCAAUCCCUGCGCUUUUCUUCAUAACCAUCAGCAGACCACCUCUCACAGCCAUCGGCAGCCAUCAAUACUAGUCAUCGGCACGAACCCAUCACCACUCUUGGACUUGGUCAUAUUAUGUCGUUUUCCCAUCGGCACCAAACCUCAUCGACAACUCUUCUGUAGACCAGUCACCACUUGUCCGCCUACCGAUCUACACUUCAUUAACUCCAGACACGCAUCUAAAGAUAUGUGUCCAAAAACGGUGUCAACAAUUACUCAGUUGUAUAAGCAUUGGUGGGAAGAAUGGAAGGAGCAUCUGUUCAGGGCAUCGGCUCAUACAUACCGCGGCAUGAUCGACCCCGACUACAAAGUCUCCGAUAACAUUGUAAGUCUUUUACCGAUACCUCAGUUCCUUUGUUAUCUUUAAUCUUAUCGGCAACUUAUUUGCUUUUUAUUUCAAUAGGUCGAUAACCCAGCACCGAUGAUUAGCAGAAGUGGGAGGCCGAUUGAACUUCUUCAAUCAGGCCCAAUUUCUCUGAUCGGCCACAAUGCGCCAAGUCUAGCAGCCCUGAUGCAUCGAAACGUGCGCUUCAAGAAGACGACCACCAAACGGUCGAAAGUAACUCCAUCGGUUGCUACUGCUACCCUGGCACAGGCUUUUAAGGUAAAACUCUUAAUAUUUUUAUAUCGAAUUCAUCCCAUACUCACUUCAUCUUUUCAGGGUACAUCGGCUGCAACGGGAACUUCAUCGGUAACUUUCAUUUUCUAUUAAAACUUCAUCAGUACCUUUUCUUAUAUCUAACUCAUGAAAUUUUAUUUUCUGUAAUAGUAGACUAGCAAAUCAGAAAAAACCAAGAGUGCUCAAACAUCGGGUGCCGAUGCCCCCCAGCCCAGUCAAGCUCCAACCAAGAGAAGGGUCCUAAAAGCACCAAGACCCAGCCGAAGCGCCAUAAGACAGCACCAUCUUCUCCACCUCGUCCAGUAUCCCCGAUCCAAGUAGCAUCUUAUCCUUCUCCACCGGAACCCCAGACGCAAGAAGUACCUUCUCCUCCUCGACCAGUACCCCAACCACAAGAAGCACCAGCCGAUGUUUCUGAACAGAUUGCCGAUCCGGCUGAUUUGGGCACAUCAUCGGCCGUCCCUCUAGAACAGACAAUCACUAUACCUCCUCAAGGUAAAGUACUGAUCACAGAAUUAUUACCGAUGAAUUUAUCUUAUAAACUAUAAUCAUCCUUGUAACUUUUCAGUUGAAGUCAUUCCAUUGGCAACCCCAGCCGAUCAAACUAUAGUUCCAGCUACAUCUCCACGUCAGAGGUAGGAAAUCGCCCUAAAGCAAGUAAGUUAUCUAGUUUUCAGGCUUCACAUUAUCAACACUUAAUCUUGAAUAACUUAUCUUCUUCUUUUUCUAGGAACAAGACUCCCAGACAGCCUAUUCUGCUUUGCUAUCGACAUCUUCGAUGAUGAAGGCGAAGAAGCAUGCAGCUCUUCUCAGGCAGUUGGAAUCUCAUCAGUAGAGAUUAAAGCCAGGUUGGAAGACUUAUUAGCUUUAUUGCACCAAGACACUGCUCAGCUAGUGGAUGAUUCCGAUCCGGCCAAAGUCAUAUUCAAGACCCUCCGUGGUCAAAUUCAGCCGAUGCAGAAGAAGUCCUCUUCCAAGCUGCUCAUCUGGAAAGCCGCCAACUCUGGUAUCACAAGGCUAACCAACGCCUUUCCGAUUGGGUUGCUCAUGCCUGGCUUACAGAGGAGAUGCUACAAAGCGUGCUGCCGAUGAGAAACACAAAAGCAUCAACAUUCUGCAAUCCUCAGGGUAUGAGCUAAAACAAAAGAUCUCCACUCUAUCGGCAAAAAGAGAAGCCUUGCUAGCCGAACUUAAGCAAGUGGAAGAGGCCACUCAAGCUCAGCAAGAAGAAAGCCAACUGCCCGAUGCGCUCAAAACUCUUCAGCAAGAGAGAGACAUCCAAGCUCGCAAAGCACUACAGAUGAGGAAGAAACUGAAGCCGGUGGAGGGUUCUGCCGAUGAAGACACCCGAGAAAUAGAAGAGGCCAACCAGAUCCGUCUGCGCGCCAUAUCAGCCAUCCAAGCUCUGUUGAACCUGUGAACUCUUCAUCGAUAACUUGUUCACUUCUGCUUUCAAAAACUUUUAAUUAUUUUGGUCUAGCCGAUAGGACUGUUAUCGGCACUCAAACACUAUGCAUGGUCCCAGAUACAUUUUGUCCAGCCAAUAGGAUUAUUAUCGCCAUUUGAACUUCUAUGCAUCAAUCCAGAUACUAGGAUAGUAUCUCUUUAAAUAUUUUCCAUUUAAUGCUCUAGGAAAUUCAACUCCUUCAAGAGUUUCUAAAAUAUAAACAUUGCUAGGUGCAGAUCGAUUUACUCGAUAAGGACCCUCCCAAUUAGGAGACCAUUUUCCAAACUUUGAACUUUUAGUCCCGAUCGGUAAAAUCAACUUCCACACCAAAUCUCCAUCAGCAAACUCCUUGGCCUUUACCUUCUUAUCAUACCAUUCAGCAACUCUCUUUUUAUUUUCUUCUAUGCUAAUUAAAGCCUUCAACCGAUGCCCUGCUAAAUCAUCCAACUCAUCUUUCAUUAAAGUGGCAUAGUCAUCGGCAUUUAGCUCAUCCUGAGAAAAGAUCCGCCUUUAAAGUGGCAUAGUCAUCGGCAUUUAGCUCAUCCUGAGAAAAGAUCCGCCUGGAACCAAUUUUUAUCUCCCAUGGUAAUACCGCAUCAUGCCCAUACACCAAUUGAUAAGGUGAGACUUUGGUUGAGCCAUGACACGCCAUCCGAUAUGACCACAAAGCUUCAUUUAACAAUGUGUGCCACCUCCUAGGAUUUUCUUCAAUUUUCCGCUUGAUGAGUUUAAUGAUCCCUUUGUUAGAAGCUUCGGCUUGCCCGUUAGCUUGAGCAUAGUAAGGAGAAGAAUUCAACACCUUAAUCCCCAUACCGAUUGCAAACUCAUCAAAUUCCCCUGAUGUAAACAUAGUACCCUGAUCGGUAGUAUUCGUUUGGAGAAUACCAAAUUUGUAAAUAAUAUGCUCCUUCACAAAAUCAAUCAUAUUGGCCGAUGUUACUUUCUUCAAAGGAAUAGCCUCACCCAUUUGGUAAAAUAAUCAGUGGCAACUAAGAUAAACUUAUGCCCCUUGCUUGAUGGUGGAUAAAUCUGACUGAUGAGAUCAAUAGCCCAGCCCCGAAACGGCCAAAGUUUAAUAAUGGGAUUCAUGGCUGAUGUGGGUGCCCUUUGAAUAUUGCCUAACUUCUGACAUCCUUGACAUCCUUUGAAAUAUUUAAAGCAAUCUUCAAGUAUAGUCGGCCAAUAAUAUCCGUUUCUCCUAAUCAUCCACUUCAUCUUGAAAGUCGAUUGAUGUGCUCCACACACUCCAUGAAUUUCACCCAUCAAGCUUCUAGAUUCAUCAUCACCCAAACACUUAAGCAAGACUCCAUCUAUCGUUCGAUAAUAUAGCUCUUCUUCAAGGAGUACAUACUUCGUAGCUUGAAACCUAACACGCCUCUCAACUUUCCUGGAUGGAUCUUUGAAAUAAUCAGUAAUUUCCUUUCUCCAAUCAUCGGCACUGACUGCUGAUAAUAUGUCCAAGAUGGGUUCAUACCCUGAGGCGUGUUGAGCCAAUCGGUUGGCUUCUUCAUUAUGUAACCAAGGAAUAUGCUCUAAUUGGAAAUCCUUGAAUUCCUUUAACUCUUGCACACAUUUUUCAUAACAAGCUAUUAAAACCUCAUUUCGGCAUUCAUAAACUCCAGCCAAUUGGUUUAUAACAAGCAUGGAAUCACCAAAAAUUUCAACAGCGUCAGCAUGAACCUCCUUUAAUAAUUCUAAUCCUUUGAUCAAACCUUGGUACUCAGCUUGAUUAUUUGUUGACGCGGCAUCAAUCGGCAAAGAAAACUCAUACUUCUUUCCCCGAGGAGAAAUUAGUACUAUACCGAUUCCUGCCCCCCGGUCACAUGUAGAUCCAUCAAAUAAGAGUGUCCAAGGAACAAUUUCCAAACCAUCCACUACGCCGCAAUGCUGAGUUACAAAAUCAGCCAUAAUCUGCCCUUUAACCGCUUUAGCUGAUUCGUAUCGUAGAUCAAAUUCCGACAAUGCUAAUAUCCACUUGCCGAUUCUACCACUCAUAAUCGGCAUUGAUAACAUGUAUCGGACCACAUCAUCUUUGCAUAUGACAGUGCAUUCGGCCGACAACAAGUAAUGUCUCAAUUUAACGCAAGAAAAGUAUAAGCAUAAGCACAACUUCUCAAUUGCCAAAUAUCUUGUUUCAGCAUCCACCAAUCUUCUACUUAAAUAAAAAAUCACACGCUCCUUCCCCUCAAAUUUCUGAUUGAGAGCCGAACAGAUGACCAUAUCAUCGGUAGACAAAUAUAAUCUGAAGAGCUUUCCUUGUUGCGGUGGAACCAAAACUAGAGGGUUUGUCAAGUAAUUCUUGAUUUCAUCCAAGGCUAACUGUUGCUCUUUUCCCCAUACAAAUUCUUGACCGGCUCUUAACUUAAGCAAAGGACUAAAAGCACGAACCUUACCUGACAAAUUAGAUAUAAAUCGUUUGAUAAAAUUAAUCUUGCCGAUCAACGAUUGAAGUUCAAUUAUAUUGGUGGGAGCAACUAUCUUAUUGAUGGUAUCAAUGGAUCUUCUACUAAUUUCAAUCCCUCUUUGAUUUACCAUGAAACCAAGAAACUGUCCUACCGAUACGCCGAAGGCACAUUUAUUAGGAUUCAUCUUCAAGCCAUGUUUCCUUGUGCACUCCAGUACUUUUCGCAGAUCGGCUAGAUGCUUUAUGAAAUCUCCAGACCUAACCACUACAUCAUCAAUAUAGAUUUACACCAAUUUGCCAAUGUAUUCGUGGAAAAUAAAAUUUAUGGCUCUCUGAUAAGUAGCACCAGCAUUUUUCAAGCAAAAAGUCAUGACUAUCCAUUCAAACAAUCCAACAUGACCAGGGACAUCUAAAUGCAGUCUUAGGAAUAUCUUCUUCAGCCAUGAAUAUUUGAUUGUAUCCUGCAUUGUCAUCCAUAAAGCUAACAAUCCGAUGUCCAGCUGCAGCAUCAACCAACAGAUCGGCAACUGGCAUUGGAUAACCAUCCAUCGGCGUAGCUUUAUUGAGGUUCCUAAAGUCAAUGCAAACACAAAGCUUUCCAUUCUUCUUAUACACCGGGACAACAUUAGAAAUCCAUUCGGCAUACCGACAUUGCCGAAUAAAUUUAGCUUCAAUAAGUUUAGUUAUUUCAGCCUUAAUAUCAGGGAGUAUAUUAGGAUUGCAUCGGCGUGCUGGCUGCUGAUGCGGUGUGGCAGAACCUCCUAAGUAGUUGGGCCCACUAACACCUGUCAUUGUCCCAAGGACCUCUGACGGUGAUGUCGGGGAUCCUUCUACUUUACAAGCCUGAUGAGUAUCCAAGGAUGCUCAUUCCACUGCUACCUGUGGCGUAACUGUUGACGGUCCUUAAGUACCAAAUAUAAUCAUCAAAUAAAUAAAGAAAAGGAUCCAAAUGCAACCAACACCCAGACUUAGGGUUUUAUCUGAUAGAAUUCCAUGAGUUUUGGUGUUUGUCUAUUUCUGUAGGGGGUUAUCAGGAAAUAUGGAAGAAAGAUCCACACGUCGGGAUUACAUAGAGAUAUUAACGUGCCGCGCAAUUUUCUAUCAUCUAGAAGACUCCAGAAGCCACGGGAACAAAUGAGAAGGCGAACGGGCCCGGGGGCAGGGCGCCCACCCACCCCCCUUGGGCGCCCGCCAGGAGUUGUAGUCAAACACGUCCAACUUUGCGGACCAAGCUCCACCGACCUAAAGGAUCAAGGAUAACCGUCCAAUCAAUGUCGGUUUGAUCCAAUGGCUCACGUUCACUUUAGGGGACUAUAAAACCAGACGCCCUGGCCCCUGGAGGAGACAAGUUCAUCAGAGAGUUGAGAGGAGCCCUCGAAGGAAUACCUCUCCUCUAAAUAAAAUUUCUUUUAGGCUUAGCAUCCAAUAUGAGUAGAAGUAGAUCUUCAAGUUUCUACUAGAUUGAGAGAUACAGAGUGGAGGUGUAGAUCGGAGGAAGCCCGGCCUGUCGGUGUCUACUCCGAGGUUGUACCUGCGGGAUCAAGUCUUCUAACCCGAGGCUUGCUCCUAGGAUUCUUCGGUAAUUCGACCUCUAAUUCUAGUAAGUUCUUGUUUUAUUGUUCUUUGGUUUAUGAGUUUACUUUAAUCUCUUCCGGUUGAGUAUUAGAGUAAUCAUUGCUAGCGUAAACGUGGUGUUUAGGCUAGGGUACUCAUAGAUAUCCCCUGACUAGCUGGACCAUAGUAGUAGCGAGGAACGUGACAUUUCCGAGUUACCUUUGUAUCCCACAUCUCGUUAGCAGGACGGGUAGGUGUAUAGGUGCGGGUCGAACAUCCUUUGUGGUGUCUAGAUUCCGUAAGCUUCCCCAAUAGAACAGUAGAUCAUCCUUACUAAGGUUAGAACGAGACUACGGUUGCAGUCUUCUCUAUACAUCACUCACAUCGAGAAACAUUCUUUGUAGCCUAAAAGGAUAGUAGCAAUAGAUUUGGUUAGUCAGAUGCACCCUUUCUCCCAGUGGUAAAAAUAUAAAUACGAUACUCUGGAAAACCUCCCAGGUGAAAUGUUCACCGAUAUCCGUGCGCUUGCGGAUCAAUUUCUUAUUGCGUUACCAAAUAUCAACAAGCAUUUCUGGCGCCGUUGCCGGGGAGAAAGAUGGUUUGCUGAGAUAACUCUUAGUCUUGCUAUUAUCUUGUAUUAUACUUUUAUACUUUUAUUAUUUUAUCUUUUUAUUUUUAUCUUUAUGGAUAACUCAAAUUCCAUACCUAUUAUUGAAUUCUUUGCACCUUCGGAGACCAGUCAUAGACCAUGGGAGUCCACAAGUCCUGCCCCUAAUUAUGAUCUGUGUCCGGAGUUGAUUGCAAUAGGUCAAAACCAACCCUUUUCUAUAGCUGAGGUCCUAUCUUUUAAUCAAGAAGAUAAUGAACUUUUAGCUACACCUAGGGAAUCUUUUAAUCUUUCUAUAAAUUUUGGUUUAGACCUAGCCCUACAAGACCAUGUUUUUUCUUGAUAUUUUCACAUUGGUCUUAAUCAUAUAACCUUUGAUAGAGUCUUUCUUUCUUUAUCUAUUAGUAAAGGAAGGUAUGUCUUCAUUUGUGGACAUCCCUCUUGCACUAAUCUUCAUAAAAAAUUCCUAGAGAUAGAGAAGGAAUCAUCUCCCAGACAAGGAAAGGAAGUUUCAAUAGCCGAUUUCCAAACAUUUCAAUCCCAUGAUUCGGCUAUCCAAUCCAUCCUUGAGCUUAAUAAUUUCUACUAUGCUCUUUCUCUUGAACCUCCCGAUAAUCCUAUGAAUCUCUCUAGACAUCCCAUUCAUAAGAGUCACCAAGACCACAAGGAGGAUUGAGAAGAGCAACAUCAAUGGCUAGAGGGCAUUAAAAAUCCAUGUGCUAUCACCAUUGAAUGCAUAGAUAAAACAAACUUGAGAGACAAUCCUAGAGGAAUUUUAAGCAUUCAUGAAGAAUCAUCCUUGGAGUUUGAGAAUGAGAGCAACAACAGUGAGCAUGGAAGUUAUUUCAUAAAUACCUCACCCAGUCCUUGCUCAUAUAAAACAUCUCUCCAAUCAAUUGGUAUCUCCAUCCUUAUCACAUUUGAGAUCUUCAACCCCCUCUUCUUUUCUAUUUAUAACAACUUUAAAAGGGUGGUUGUCGAUGCAUAUGUCUAUAAUAAAUAUUGCAGAUCUCGUUGAGUUGAUCUUGAUGUAGGUCAACGUUGGACGGGAAACCACUUCGCUGACAUAAAUUGAUGGUUUCCCAAGGACAAGUUUAGUGUCCUAAAACAAGCACCUAUCAGAUUGUGACAUGAACUUCUAAUUAUUUGCAACAUUGCCUUGUGUAUUGAGCAUAUAAAGAUAAUUGUAGAAAUAUUCCUUCGGGUAUUCGUGUCACUAACCUUACUAGGAUUGGAGCAAGAAGAUCCGAGGAAUGACAAGCACAAGGUAUGUCCAACCAACCAUCACACAACAUUGAAUUUAAUUCAUCCAAUCUUGAAUUUUGCAAAAUUCAAGCUUGGGGGAGUACUUUACAUAAAAACAUCCUUUGCGAUGUUGCUAUGUUGGUUGUCCUUACCUUUGAGACAUGCUCAAUUUGUUAAAUCACACUACUUCAUCUCCACUUGAGUAGAUCUCUAUAAAAGCCAUCAUGUUACCUUUGUUUAUCCUAGUAAGUGUUAGUUUGGAAGUACUGGACAUACUUUCAUUGGCAUUUAAAUUAAGCGUGGUGCUUAGGUUAAAUAGCCUUCCUUAAUUUGAUUAGACAUGGAGUCUAGUUUGGUUACUGAACUAAAAACUGCUUGAGUAGGCAUUGGUAUAUUUUGUCGGACUAACCCCUGCAGGAAAACUUUCAAUAUCAACCUGGGAAAUCCUGAGAUACAAACUCAUUGGAGACAAAGGAGACACAUAAAGUUUAACGAUUUGCACAAGGAAGACAUAGCUCAUUUAUCAUAGAGAGAUGAUCCAUGGAACGAGACAAAGAAUGCCACAAACACAGUGCACAACCGCUAAGAAAGGAAAGCUUCUACAAGGUGAUACUGUACCAUCACUCUUCAAUUAAGGUAACAUCUUAAAGUACUUGAUUAUCACUUUUAUAAGCUUCUCCUUGGUUCUGGCAUUCACAUAAAUAAAGAGACAAACAUGUAAGAUUUAUAACUCUAAAUUAACCAACUCAACUGAUUCAACAUGUUUAGUCCUUUAAUCUUUGUUCUUAGUACUACCUUCAUGAUCCCACACUCCUCAUCAUAUAAGCUAAUAUGUUGCACAUUCAAUCUUUGAAAGAUAUAAACAAAAUAUAGAUAGAUUAUCUUUCCAUUAGGUCGAGCAAUCUGAUCUGACAAAUGUUUUAAAUGCUACACUCAUGAUCUUAUUAUCCAUCAACUUUGUCUUGCUCACUAUGCUUAAGGCAAGAGAAGAACAAAUACACUUUUGGUUCUGUUGGUGUUUUCCACCAACAGGGCCCAUGCACUUGAUCUCUACCUUGUCUCUAUGAGCGGGUACACUUCGAGUAUAAUAUGAAGGAGUUUUACAACUCCCAGACUCCACCAAGUAAAGGGCUUGGAUCUACGAGCACAAACACAAUGGAGAUACUGGACACUCAGGCAAUCACUGCCCUGAGAUGCUUGAGGACGUAAACUACAACUACUACUACUACAACCGUCCUCAAUAAAAUCAAGACUUCAUGGUGAUAGAGACUGGUAUCCUAGGGAGGCCAUUCCUGAACACCUCGGGCUGUCAUCUACGCUAGUGCUACCAAGAUCAGUUUCCACAUCAAGGGGAAGAAGGAGAUUUUCCUUCAAGAACAAGACUACAUAAAUUUUGGAGCAAUCCCGACAUGAACAAAGGGAGAGGACCAACAGGAGGAAUAGGAACAAGCAAAUGUGGACCGAGUCAGUUACGAUGGUCACUACAGCUCAAGGAAGUCAAGAUCGUCGACUCAAGUCGCCUUUCCUGAUCAAGAAGGACGACCCUGGUGUUCCAAGCAUCAAGUGCACAAUCAAUGGAUACUCUUUUCAGAAGACACUCUACGACACCGGAUCUGACGACAACAUAAUGGCUGCAGUCACUUAUCAGCUCCUGCAUGGAACCAUGCCCCUACAGCCAACAUACUUUCAGCUCCAGAUGAUUUUCAGGUCAUUGACAUGGGAGAAGACGAGUAUGAUCCAUCCACCAUCCUUGGAAAACCGUUCCUCAACACCAUCAAAGCCAUCAUCUAUAUUGGAACCAGAGAAGUCCACAUGCACUUCCCCUCUAAGAAGGUACGCUGCUAUUUUACUGACCCUAACCAUAUAGUUGAAGACUCUAAGCAGGUCAGGACAAGAAGAAGACAAUGCAACCAGAGGAGGCAAAUCAUCAAGGACGGAUGGGCAGACUACAAAGGAAAAGUGGAAAGGUCUGAAGACAUACGGCUUGAACAGAACUGUCCUGAGGAGACCGUAGCAUCGAGUCAGGUGUGGAGGGAGAAGAUAGUUAUACACGAAGAGGUUGCGCUGCCGGAACGACCGACUACGCCAUCCAGCGAAUCCUAGGACGACUGAGAAAACAGAGAGUCCCGUUCGAAGGACUUAAAAAUACCGAACGUCUUGCUAAGAGGUAAACUUGGUAGUCAUCCUUUUCCCUUCAAUUAUUUAAAAUAGUUUGCUUAGUUAAUCAGGUUCAUAUCAUCUCGAAAAGAAAAUAGUAAGCCCCAUGUGAAUAUGCUCAUGGCAUAAAACUCAUAAGUACAUUCACUGUGGUGGCGUAAAAAUAAAAUAAAUAUAUUCCUGUCCUAUAACAAUAAAAAUAUAAAAAUAAUAAGUGCAUGAUCCUGCUAAGUAAAUAACAUUAAUUGAGGAAGCUCAAUAUGAUAAAGGCAAAGAGAUUUUAUGCUAACACUUAACUAGUUCCACAAAGCUUUGUUGUCUAUUUGAGCUCCACAGAAUUUAAGGAUCAAAGAAGGCUAGCAGACGGAGGACAUCCUAAUCGCUGUCAGGGUGCUGCCGACAUUCAAAUACACCUCCGCCACCUGCUAGCUACAUUAGAAGAAAUUACGUCAAAAUCCAGCUUGGGGGAGAGCACCCCCAUUUAUCCAGCUAAGUGUUUCUACUCGCGUUUAUACUUUACUCAAAUAAUAAAAUGAUGCAUAAUCAUAAAAACCCAAAUAAAGAUUUUGUGCUUUUAUAUAUAUCUUUGCUUAGUUUGCUAAAUAAAUAAAUAAAUAAAGUUUGCUAUGAACCCUCAUGAUAAGCUCUCACAUGGAAAUGAUGAAUAGUUGCUGUGCCAUAUACCUAGUUUUCAAGUUUGAGCUCUCUUUCAAGUUUAGGCAUAACUGUUAUAAUUUAAACGUACUCUAAACCUAAACUUGUGGGAAGAGUACUUGAUGUUGACACUUGCUAACACCACUUGAAUACUAGGUUGUCAUCCCCAGCAUGGCACUAGAGUGUACUAUGGUAUUUAUACGCACACAGAUAAUCCGCAAGCGCACGGAUACCGUUGAAGCUUUUACCCGGUUAAAGGUUUUAUCGUAUCCACAGGGAAACGGGAGAACCAACUACGCUCUAACUUAACCAAGAUAGAUUAGAUAGGUGUAAAUAGGAAAGAUGGUAGAAUUGAACAAGAACAAUAUUAAAGGUAAGAUAACAAUAGGUGAUAAUAUGGGAAUAGAGAGUAGAGCAAUUCUAGUAUAUGGGCGAUGGUAGCAGAAUAGAGAGGAUAACUAUGGUUUCUCUACUUCAAAGGGGUAUGUCUAUGUCUGGGACGAACCACGUGAUAAGAUUACACCACAAAGGAUGCUUAUCCAUAGGCCGAUAAACCCUACCCGUCCUGCUAACGAGAGGUGGACUACAGAGGACCAACGUAACUGUCACCUACGCGGCCUACCACACGAUCCAGCUAGACAGGGGAUAUCCACAAGUAAUCUAGAUCUAAGCACCUCGCUUACACCUAUACUACAACUCUAACCUAUAGCGUCCUAUAGAUUAGAAGUACUCAAAAGAGUUGUGAACCAGAACGUACAUAAUUAGUAAUUGCAUAAUGAAUUAGAAGUAGAUUACCAGAGUCAUCCCAUGAGCAAGCUUGAUUAGAGCUUGAUCAUGACGAAGUACAACCGGAGGAAGAACCGAUGGGCCGGCCUCUCCUCUAAUCCUCCUUCGCUCUCCAUCUUGCUACUAUCUAGAUCUACUCUAGUUUAGAGAAGAGAGGAGAGCUCUCAUCUCUAAACCCUAGCUUUUGCUCUGUCUAUGAAUAAUGAAUAAUGAUCAAGGGGUGCCUCCUCCAGGGGCCAGGGGGUCUGGUUAUAUAGUCUUUUCAGAUGAAUCUGGGCCGUCGGAUCAAACCGACAUUGAUCGUGUGGGUUUCCUUGAAGUAUUAGGUCGGUGGAGCAUGAUCCGCGAAGUUGAAGCUGAUUGGUUACUGUAGCUAGGCGGGCACCCAAGGGACUUGGGCGGGCGCCCUGCCCCCGGGCCCGAUCGGCCUCCCGUUCGUUCCCGUGGCUUCUAGAAUCUUCUAGAUGGUAGAAAAUUGCGCGGCACGUUAAUAUCUCUAUGUAAACCCAACAUGUGGGCCUUUCCUUCAUAUUUCCUGAUAACCCCCCUGCAGAAAUAGACAAACACCAAAACUCAUGGAAUUCUGUCAGAUAAAACCCUAAGUCUGGGUGUUGGUUGCAUUUGGAUCCUUUUCUUUGUUUAUUUGAUAGUUAAAUUUGAUACUUAAGGACCGUCAACAAACUCCCCCAAGCUUACCUCUUGCUCGUCCCUGAGCAAGGAUAGACUCAACAAUUGAUCAGAAGUUGUUGCAAUAUCUUAAAAAUUUGACGGUACACAUGCUUUUAAAUAAGAUCUCAUCUCUGAGUUAGAGUAAACUGUCAAGAACUAAAACUUACUUACUUUACCUUUCACCAUGGGACUUGUAACCGUCACUUCUGUCUUGAGUAGUUGAAAGAUAGAACAGUCUAGCUAAGUGCCAUGUCUCUUAUUCUUGAUCAGCUAUAGCUCUGGAGUUUUUGCAGAUUUUCAAAUAAAACUCAGAGAUUCCUUGUAUGACUCUCUAAAUCUCUCUUUUGUGGUAUUUCUGGAUCCUUACCAAGGCAGUGAUGGUAUAUGCCUUCUCUCAAGAUAUGUGGUAUUUGUGGUAUAAGGCAUAGUGACAUUGCCUUCUCUCUCACCCUACUCUAAUAAGGCUUUAAUAUCUGGAGCUCAUAGGUGGGAGAUAAAGUAUACAUACUUACAAGACAUUUAUUGUAUAGUCAAACCAUGGAUCCAAAGAAACAAAUCAAUAAGCCAAAUCAAGAUGUGCAUGUGUGGCGAAUGAAUGGUAUAUGGUGAUGAUGGUGAUAACAAUGGUGAAAGUCCAAUUCUACUUUUGCUCUUUUGAGGGGAUACAUACCUUCCUUGCUUUUUGAAAUUUUAUGAGGAGAAUGAGAUGCUCUAUCUUUCAUUUUUCUUUCCUCUCAGGUGGGUAUCUUGUACCCCUAAUUCUACUGUCGGACACUUGUCCAUUUUUACCUCUCGUCUCACUCUUUUUUCUUUUCUUUCGAGGUUCCGGGCACUUGCCCCUUUUUAUUUCCUCGUUUAUUUAUUUUUUUUCUUUUCUUCUCUUUUCUUUUUUUCAGAGCACUCAUCUCUUGAGAUAAUAUAGCAAGUGGUAGUAGCAAGAUAACUUGAGCAUUUAUUUCACAAGGAAAAACAGAAAUAUUUUUGGUUAUUCUCUCCCGGAUUAGGAGUUGAAUAUUUUUGGGUGGUUCUAGAGAUGGAAAUGAGUGGAUAUAUGUGGAUGGUACUUCCGGAGUAGAGGUAGCAUAUAUGAGUGAAUGUGCAAGUGAAAUCUUGAUUUAACCACAUGACAAGCUCCUAAGGGUCUACACAGCUUGACCACACUCAAUGCUCAUAAGCAGUAAAUAGUAAAUGUGUGGCUCAAAGUCUAGCAAGCAUGUAUAUAUGGCUGUGGUAGGAAUUUAAACUUUUCAUCAUACAGGAACUCAUCAUGCAAUAUUUUAAAGAUUUUUCAAAGAUAAAAUUCUCCAGAAUUAUAGCAUCUCUAGGAACAGAUAAACAGCAGCUCAACCUUCCCAUAUCAUAUCCGUUAACAACUUAGAUUUUAGAUCAAGUUUUCAUCCCACAAGUUUAGAUCUAGAGCAAGCUUUAAAUUAUAACAUUUAUGUCUAAACUUGAGAGAGAACUUCAAAUUUGCAAAUUAGGCAGAGCAACUAUUCAUCAUUUCCAUGCUAGAGUUUUAUUAUUAAGAUUCAGAUUAGCAUAGCCACUUUAUUUAUUUAUUAAACACACUAAGCAAAAGAUAUAUAUAUAAGAACAAAAUCUUUAUUUGGUUUUUUCAUAGUUUAUGUAUUUUAAUAUUCUAAUAAUAUAAGUAUAAAGAUAGGUAGAAAUACUUAGCGAGAUAAAUGGGGGUGCUCUCCCCCAAGCUGAAUUUUGACAUAAUUUCUCUUGAUGUAGCUAGCAGGUGGCAGAGGUGUAUUUGAAAGUCGGCAGCAUUCUGACAGCGAUUAGAAUGUCCUCCGUCUGCUAGUCUUCUUUAUUCUUAAAUUCUGUGGAGCCCAAAUAGACAACAAAGCUUGUGGAACUAAUUAAGUGUUAGUAUAAAUAUCUAGCCUUCAUCAUGUUGAGCUUCCUCAAUAAAUAUUACGCCCUGUUUUUAUAUUUUUUUUUAUAAAGCAGAAAAGAAAUAUUUAUUUUAUUUUUAUGCCACCACAGUGAAGGUACUUAUGGGUUUAUGCCACUCGUAGACUCACAUGGGGCUUAGUAUUUUUUAACAUUUUUAUUUUCUUUUCAAGAUAGCAUGAUUAACUAAUAAUCUAUUUAAGGAAAGUAAAUAAUUAAAGGGAAAAGGGAAUGCAGAAAGGAUAAAUAUGGAUAACUACUGAUCUUACCUUUCGGCGAGGGUUCAAUGUUUUAAGUCUUCUUAACAAGACUUCUCACCAUGUUCAUUCUUCAGGUGCGUCAUUUGAUUCAGGUGCGGACCUUGACGUCUGCACCUCUUCGUUUGCUCAGCAGUUCGAAGUGCGGCGUUGGCAGUAACCUGCUCAGUGUGUUUGUGCUCUUAGAUCCAGGUCCUUCACUUGGUAGAGUCUGAGAGUUAUAAAACUCCUCCGUGUUUUGCUCAAAGUGUACCUGCUCAAAGAGACAACGCAGAGAUCAAGUGCAUGGGUCCUGUUGGUGGAAAACACCAACAACAGAACCUAAAGUGUAUUUGUUCUUCUCUAACCCUAAGCAUAGUGAGCAAGACAAAGUUGAUGGAUGAAAAGUUCAUGAGUGUAGCACUUAUAACAUUUGUCAGAUCAGAUCGCUCAACCUUAUAGAAAGAUAAUCUAUGUAUAUGUCCUUUUCUUUAUAUCUCUCAAUGAUUGAAUGUGUAACAUUUUAGCUCAUAUGAUUAGGAGUAUGGGAUCAUGGAGGUAGUACUAAGAACAAGGAUUAAAGGACUAAACAUGUUGAAUCAGUUGGGUUGGUUAAUCUAGAGUUGUCAAUCAUACAUGUUUGUCUCUUUUAUUUAUAUGAACGUCAGAACCAAGGAGAAGCUUAUAAAAGUGAUAGUCAAGAACCUUAAGAUGUUACCUUGCUUGAAGAGUGAUGGUGUAGUAUCACCUUGUGGAAGCUUUCCUUUCUUAGUGGUUGUGCAUCGUGUUUGUGGCACCCUCCAUGGAUCAUCUCUUUAUGAUAAAUGAGCUAUGUCCUUCUUGUGCAAAUUGUUAAACUUCAUGUGUCACUCUCUUCGUCUCUGAUGUGAGUUUAUCUCAGGACUUUCCAAAUCGAUAUUGGAAGUAUUUCUACAGGGGUUAGUCCGACAAAAAUAUACCAAUGUCUACACAAGCAGUUUUUAGUUCAAUAACCGAACUAGACUCCAUGUCUAAUCAGAUUAAGGAAGGCUGUUUAACCUAAGCACCAUGCUUAAUUUAAAAGCCAAUAGAAGUAUGUGCAGUACUUCCAAACUAACACUUGCUAUUAAAUAGGCAAAGGUAACAUGACAGCAUUUAUAGAGAUCUACUCAAGUGGAGAUGAAGUAGUGUGAUUAUUAUUUAACAAAUUGAGCAUGUCUUAAAGGUAGGGACAACCAACAUAGCAACAUGGCAAAGGAUGUUCUUAUGUAAAGUACUCCCCCAAGCUUGAAUUUUGCAGAUAUCAAGUUUGGACGAAUUUAAUUCAAUGUUGUAUGAUGAUUGGUUGGACAUACCUUGUGCUGUCAUUCAUCCGAUCUUCUUGCUCCAAUCCUGUAAAGGUUAGUGACAAGAAUACCCGAAGGAAUAUUUUUACAAUUAUCCUUAUAUGCUCAAUACACAAGGUAAUGUUGCAAAUAAUUAAAAACUCAUGUUACGAUCUGAUCAGCGCUUAUUUUAGGACACCAAGCUUGUCCUUGGGAAACCAUCAAUUUAUGUCGGCGAAGUGGUUUCCCUUCCAACGCUGACCUAUAUCAAGAUCAACUCAACGAGAUCUGCAAUAUUUAUUAUAGACAUAUGCAUCGACAACCGCCCUUUUAAAGUUUUUAUUAAUAGAAAGGAAGAGGGGGUUGGAGAUCUCAAAUGUGGUGAUGUUGGAGAGACCAAUAGAAUGGGAAGAUGUUGCAUUUGAGCAUGGAGUAAUUGAAGUGGUUAUGAAAUAAAUUCUAUGCUCAUUAAUGUUAUCUUCGUCUCCAAUCUAAAUGUUCGGAGUUUCUCUUGGAUUGGUCUCAUUUAUGUCCUCUUCUGUAGUUGGAUGAAUCUCAUCUUCAACGGGAGUCAAGAACUCAUCAUUUGGAAUUGAGCCAAAGUCAGAAUCCAUUAAGGCUUCUUCCUUAUCCAUCCAUUCUACACAUUCUAACCAUUUAGAACUUGUGAUCAAGAAAGGGGAGGUGUUAGAAUUUUCUAUAUGGCUUAGCUCUCCUUCACUUGAUAUGUCAUCCUCGACUUCUUCAUAAUAGGAACCAGGACAUUCUCUAAGAGAAACAUUAUUGCAAGGAUUUGAAUUAUUUCUGCUUGAAGGUCUCUUAUGGAACCAGAAGUCUAAACCAUCUGUAUCUGAAAGAUUUAAGGUCAGAAUUCCUUCCUCCCUUAGAGAAUUUUGGGGUAUUGAUGGUUUAGGAUCAAUAGGUAAAGUUUGGAAUUGAAAUGGUUGUGAUCUGGCUAUCGAAACUUCUUCUUUUUGUCUAGAAACUGGUUCUGUCUCUUUCUCAGGGAUAUAAAAGCUAGGAGACUUUCCGCUUAAUAAAUCAAUCAAAUUCCAAGCUUCACUAGCAGGUAGGUGAUAGAAGGAUCCUCUAGAGGCUAUAUUCAAGGUUUGCUUAUUUUCCCCACUAAGGCCCUCAAAAAAGUGAAUUAGAAGAACUUCUUCUGGAAUAGAAAGCUUUGGGCCAGUGAGAGUAAGGUUAAUAAAGCGGUCCCAUGAUUUCCUAAGAGAUUCUUCUUCCAGUUGUGUAAAAGAAAUAAUCUCACGCCUAAGUUCCGCCACUUUGGAGAUUGGAAAAUAUUUAGAAAGAAAACUACUAUAUAACUCCUUCCAAUCUCCAUGAACACUCCCUAUUUUGAGUUUGUACCAAUGUCUAGCUUUUCCUGUUAAAGAGAACAGAAAGAGCUUCCAUUUGAGGGUCUCAUCGGACAUUCCUUCUAUGCGAAGGAGGUCGCAGACUCGAUAAAACUCUCUUAGGUGUGUGUAUGGGUUUUCCUCACCUUCUCCUGAGAAAGGUUGUUUUUGAACAAAUUCUAUGUAUUCGGGGUCUAUCUCAAAACUAGAUGCUAUGAUAGGCUUUGAAGAUUUUGGUGGUUCGAGAUGUGUGCCCGUAGGUCUAUGAAAUUCAUAGAUAGACAUGUUUGAAUUCAUGAUAGACCAGAGAUCAAGGAUUAGAUAAGAAGAAAGAAUAGCAGAGAUGAGGCAAAGGAUAAAAGGAAAAAUAUAUAUAUAAUUUUUUUUUAUUUUUUUAGAAAAUGAUUAAGCUAGUUCGUAGUUGUUGACGGUCCUUAAGUACUAAAAUUAAUAAUCAAAUAAACAUGAAAAAGGAUCAAUAUGAAACAAACAUCUAGAAUUAGGGUUUUAUCUGACAGAAUUCCACGAGCUUUGGUGUUUAUCUAUUUCUGCAGGGGUUUAUCAGAAAAUAUGGAGAGAAGGCCCACAUGUCAUGUUUACAAUGAGAUAAUUACGUGCCGCACAAUUUUCCUUGAUCUAGAAGGAUCCAGAAGCCACGGGAACGAACGAGAGGGGAUUCGGGCUCGGGGGCUGGGCGGCCGCCCACCCCCCUUGGGCGCCCGCCCAGGUGAGGAGUCCAAUCAGGACUCUGCUUCGGGACAAUCCUCCACCGACCUAAAGGAUCAAUCUAAACCAUACAAUCUAUGUCGGUUUGAUCCAAUGGCUCACGUUCACUUGAGGGGACUAUAAAACCAGACCCCCUGGCCCCUGGAGGAGAGGAGGAGAAAUCAUUAUUCAGAGGUAGCCAUCAAAGUUAGGGUUUAGAUCUCUCUCCCACAGAGAAUUAGAAUUAGCUACUCCCUAAUCCUUCAAGUUUAGAGGUUGAUUAGAUAGCAAUUAGAGAAGUAGAGCACAACGCUCUGGAUUCGGAUCUUCGGUAAUAAAGAUUGGUAUUAUUCAUAUCUUUCUCUAAUUCUAUUGUACUAAUUGCAUUAUGUCUCUAAUUAUUAUGUUCUUAGUUUGCUCUAGUUCUACAUUUGAUAUAGUUCUAAUUGAUAAUGAGUUUAUGUAUAAGUUUGCAAAGCGCUUAGCUCUUGACGCGAGGGAGUUAGGUGAUAGAUCACAUGUGAGCGUGGUGCUUAGAUGUUAUUUAUCUGCAAAUGUAUCCUAUUGGCCGAGUCGUGUGGUAGUUCGUGAUAGUGACAGCUUUGUUGAUUCUUAUAUAGUCCACCCUCCGUUGAUAGGACAGGCAGAACCGGUAUUGUGGAGUAAGUCAUGCGAUGUUCUGAUUUACUUUAUCAAUGUUCCUUAUACAUGAAUGAAGAGUCUUUUAUGCUAUAUAUGAUCUUGUAGAUAACUAGAGUAGAUUAUGACUUAGUAGUUAGUAGAUAACUUAGAAUCCAUUCUCUAGCUAAUCCGACAUCACCUACAUAUAUGAGGAGUAGUCUAUUUUAUAAUCGCUGUGUUAUUUACCCAUAAACUUAUACUUUAUUAUCAUUAUCUUUAUGGUUUACCCCCUGCUAGAGUAAGUGACUGUGUGACGAGUUUCUCAUUAGUAAUCAUGUUCUUGCAAGUUUAUCUCUAGUCUAUGCCUUGAUAGAUUUUGCCCAUUGAUUUAAUUCCGUUUUCUUGAGAUCCCCUAAGCAAAAUUAUAAAUAACGAUACCUGGAAUACUUAUCCUGGUGAAAUGCUACAAUGAGGUGUUUUAUCUGUGCGCUUGCGGAUAGAAUAGAUUAUUUUCUAGAGAGCCUCUACAUUUAUAAAUACCUUUGUACACUCUGGCGCCAUGCUAGGGAUGACAACCUAGUAUCUAAGUGGUGUUAGCUAGUGUCAACAAGCAUUUCUGGCGCCGUUGCCGGGGACAUGUUAGAACAUUUAUAGGAAUUUUAUGAGUCUCAGGAAUAAGUCAAAAGGGAACAAAAGAGUAAUAUUUAGGAACGGUAAGGGAAGCCAGAAAAUCAAUCAAGGUUAUUCAUAUAAAAUACUAGACUAGACUAUAGAGAAAUAAUUGCAUAAAACAGCUACUAAGUGAGAAAUCAUAACAAGGCACCGCUGCUUUGGCAGGUUCACCCUGUUGUUUUUCUAUGUUUAUAUUUUUAUACAGGGUAUAACAGGAUUGACUUUGGGUACAUUCAACUCUCCAUCAUCAGAACCAAAGCAAUCAAGAGAAGAAGAAGCUAGCUACCAAUUGCUGAAGCUAUGGCACAAAAGACCUUGCAAGAAUUCUCUGCUCCAAGUCUUGACAACAUUCCAACUGGUCCAAGAUUUGCAGUAGAAGAAGGAAUACCCGAGUUUGAGCUCAAGUCAAGCCUCAUCAAUUUGGUACAAGCUACACAAUUCAGUGGAAAGGCACAUGAAGAUGCUAGUGCACACUUGCAGAAUUUCUUAGAGAUUGGAAGCACAAUCCACAUCAACGGAGUUGACAAAGACGUCAUACUGCUUCGCCUUUUUCCAUUCUCAUUAGAAGGAAAAGCGAGGAAGUGGUUCUACACUCAUCAAGAUAACAUCAACAACUGGACGAACUUGUCAGAUGCCUUUCUAUCAAAGUUUUUCCCUAUAGGCAAAACAACUGCCUUAAGAGGAAAUAUUGUCAGUUUCCAACAGCAGAAGACAGAAGCCAUUUCAGAAGCAUGGGAGCGUUUUCAAGGAUACAUAUCAGAUUGUCCUCACCAUGGAAUGGCCACAUGGUUACUUAUGCAGACCUUCUACCAUGGAUUAACCCAGAAGGCUCGUGAGUGUCUAGAUGCAUCUGCUAAAGGAUCAUUCUUGGAGCUUACAACUGGAAAAGCAGAAAUACUUUUGGAUAAGAUAGCAGAAAAUCAAAGCUGGUUCCAAGAUAAAGCUCAACAAUGUCAUCAAACUGAUGAAAUACCAGAAGAAGUAAAUGCAUUAUCAACUAAGAUGGAAAAUUUGCUCCAUUGGAUUGACCAGAGGGCCAAGUUCAAAGAAGAUCAAAGGGCCAUUGAGACAGCAUACAAAUAUCAACCAACUUCGAGUCAACCCAAUAGCAAAGGUAUGAAUUCAGGUAAUACUUUCAAGCAACUUUCAUUAAAAGAGAUAAUUGCUCAACAAACCAAAAUUAAUGAUGAAGUUAAACAAAGGCUAGAUACAAAUGAAUCAUCUCUAAAAGAUAUAUACAAUAAAAUGGAUUUUCUACUAACUGCCUUUGAUGAGCAAAACACUCUUAAUAAAAGGGUAGAGCUUAAAUUAAUAAAGUUAGCUGCUGCACUGCCUGUUGCUACUAACCUUGAGCAGGUAAAGAAUAUAACUACUAGAGGAGGUAAAGCCACCAGAGAUCCACCAUACCCAAAAGAGAAACAAAGAACACCAGCACCAGUGCAACCAGCAGUGAUAGAAGAAGAAAGCCCAGUUGAAGCAGAAAACCUACUCCAACCACCAAGAACUGGAGAAAUGAAGAAAGAUUUUUACGACACCAACUAUUUGCCAUUUCCCAGAAGAAACAGAGGACUGCAGUCGGAUGAGCAGUUUGGUAAGUUUGUAGAGGUUAUUCAGAAAUUAUAUGUCAACAUACCUCUGCUCGAUGCCAUACAGGUACCUACAUAUGCAAAGUACAUCAGAGAUAUUCUUAACAAGAAGAGACCACUGCCCACCACUGAGGUUAUCAAGCUGACAGAAGAAUGUAGUGCGGCCAUCCUCAAACAAACCACCAAAGAAGAAGGAAGAUCCCGGAUGUCCCACUAUUGAUUGCUCGAUCGGGAACCAACAUUUCAACAAUGCACUUUGUGAUCUCGGAGCAAGUGUCAGUGUGAUGCCAGCAUCAGUCUACAAGAAGCUUGAUCAUGCAACCUUAGAACCAACAUCAAUGUGCCUACAACUAGCGGAUCAAUCGGUUCGACACCCGUUGGGCAUCGCCGAGAACAUUCCAGUCAAGAUUAGAGAUUUCCUAGUGCCAGUAGACUUCGUAGUACUGGACAUGAGUCCUGACUCAAAAGUGUCCAUCAUCCUUGGAAGGCCAUUUCUGAGCACUGCCAAUGCCCACAUUGAUGUCGGGAAAGGAGAAAUCAAGUUCCACAUAAACGGUCAAGAAGAACACUUCACAUUCAAACCCAGACCAGAGAGAGACUCUACAGUAAAGGAAGUUCAUGAAGAACCACUGGAGACACCAUCUCCGGAGGAAGGUAACUCAGAAGAUUAAAAGAUUUGGAGGUCCAGCUUGGGGGACCUAAAAUCCCAAACCCUCACCGGGAGGUAAAUCGGUAUUUAUCCGCAUUAUUAAUUUUCUCAUAUUUAAAUUCUUGCAUAAUUAAAUCGUGCAUUAGUCACAUUUAUUCAUAGCAUAAUCAUAAUAAUCAAAAAGCCCCAUAUAAAUAAUAUUCGUGGUGUGUAACAACCUACACUUAUUAAUUAUUAUGGAGGCACAAAAAUAUUUUCCAUUAUCAUUUUCAUUAAGUUUCAAUUCUCAUAGAUUUUCCUGCAUUAUGUUGAUCUUCUAGAAGCAUGACCCACACUCUUUGGGCCCACAUGUCAUACACUUCAUCUCACAUACAUCCCAUCACAUAAUUUCAUCCACCAAUAUGUUUCCACUCACCUGACAUCUUUCCACCGUCCAACCACUACCAACACAAUAUUAUUCUGCGUGAGAUCAAAGCAAGGAAGCAAGUGGAGGAAGCACACCCAGGAUGGACACCAGGGGUGGGCGCCCGCCCACCUACCUUGGGCGCCCGCCCUGUCCCCUGCUCCUCCUAUAAAAGGCCACCUCCAGCUCCCCUUCUCUUCACACAAACACUUCAGAAAACCACACAAAAUUCAGUUUCCCGAGAAGGAGUUCUUGUAGUGAAGAGAAGAGAGUGAAGAGAAGAGAGUAGAGAGAAAGAGAAAGAGUGGAAGGGAAGGUUGGAGUUCUUUUGAGAGAGUGAUUGUCACCUAGCAAGUAGUGAUCCCGUUGUCUAAGCGGAAGUAAAAGUUGUUUAGGGGGAGGCUCUACCAAAAUAGAAACUUAUCUUGAACGAUUAACCCCUGGACUACUGACACUCCGGACAGCUGACCACUAACAUUUUAUCUCACAUUUUCCACUAGUUGUGUUUUUGCCAACUUUUGUUUGCAGGAUGUUUAAGAAGGUGAAGAAUGCAGGGAAGGCUCUCAAGAACAUUGGAACAAGGAGUUCCGCCCGACACUCCUCACAGCCAUCAGAGAUGAGCGUCGACCCGACACCCACACAAGCUCCAUCAUCUUCAUCAGGCCAGCAAGUUAAGGUCCUUCUUAAGAUAGGAGACCUAGGACUGAAGACCCGAAGAGAGAAGGAAGUAUAUCAACAAUUGAAGAACAAGGAUUUCAUUCACACCCCUACUCUCGAUCCAAUCCUACUAAGAGAAACAGGUAUGGACACUGAAUUUGACUUAAUUUUUCAGAUGAUGGGUUGGACAAAUUUUUGGAAUAUAACUGAGCUGGGUUCUCGUCUUCUCACCCUCGAAUUUCUUUGCACCAUACAAUACUACGAGGGGGGAAUUGUUUUUCGGAUGUUCAAACAAGAAAUUAUGUUAUCUUGGAGGGAGCUGAGUGACCAUCUUGGUUUCUCUUCAAGAUGCAUCCUAAACAUUGACUCCGAUUUACCCAAUUUUGAGAGACACCAGUUUUGGAGAGAAAUAUCUAGAGAUAAUUUUUACAGUCAAGCCCGAACCAGUGACAUGGAACACCCCACUCUUAGGAUGUUUCACAAAUGGCUUGGGUACAAUCUUUUCUAUCGUGAUGAUAUUAGGAAAGUAAGAGUAGGAGAUUUACAACUUUUAUAUGCUGCUAUUAGUAAAGUACCUACUUCACCUGUUACAUUAUUAGUUUCACAUUGGCUUAGUAUACCUAAUCUUCAGGGACCAGUAGGAUGUACUUCACUUAUCACUCGUCUAGCCACUAAUCUUCACUUACUAGAAAAUUCAUCGUUGGACUUCAUAGAAGAAUUAAGAAUUUAUCAUGGCUAUGACACAUUUAGACAAGCUCGGAUGUUAAAGAAAGAGGGGAAUAUAAUGUAUAUGCUGUAUGAUGAUAAAGGCAAGAUUCGGUUACCUAACCCGAACCUUGGCCUCUACUCUGUGCAAAACUUUUUGAUUGAGAUUGCAGCAACACCAGUGAACCAGAGAACUCCACAGCGAGUGGCAUCUGAAAGGAUAACCACCCACCGAGAACGCACUUGGUAUGGAGCUGACCCUGGACCAGAAGAAGCAGCGCACCUGCAUUAUUGCGAUUACAAUCCACGAGUCCUUCGAGACCCAUGGGCUCGUCAUGCGCAACCACAAGAGCCAACAGAGGAGACAUGGCCGGAAAGCCAAGAUCACCAGUGGACAAACCCGCCUUUUCAUACGGGCAGGUACUCCACUGAUCCAUAUGGAGCUUCAGGAUCCAGACCUCCACCCCAAUUUGAUGCAGGACGAUACUCCGACGCCUCCUACGCUUUCACGAAUGACUACUAUCAAGAGGCCGGUGCUUUCUUCACUCGUACCGACAACACCCUCCUCAACAUUCAGAACACGCAAGCAGAACAUGGAAGACUCCUGGAAGAACAACAAAAAUGGAACCAGGACCAUGCCGCUGCAGUAGAAGAGCUGAGACAAGAUACAACAACAAUGAACGACAACAUCACAACCAUGAUGCGGUUCUGGAACAUCGGGUAAGACCGACGUCAACAUCCAGCUUGGGGGAGUUCUUCCCAAAUUUAUCAAGUAAGUUUUUUAUUUGCUCUUCUUAGUUAUUCUAUUCUGUUUUAGUAUUUAAUUUAUCUUACAAGGAAAAAAAACUUAGAAAACCAAAUAAAUAUUUUCUUGCUUUAAUUUACUGCACUUUAUAAACAUGAAAACAAAAUAAAAAGAGUGUGUAGAUAAGUGUGCUUUAUUUUCCUGCUAAGUUUAAUCUCUAGAAAAAAAAAUAAAAAUACCAAAAAGAUGCAUGAGGGAAAUGAUGAACAGUUGCUCUGUUUGCUUACUUACAAGUACCUAGCUUUUAUAUUAGAAUUCUUCCAGGAAUUACUAAAACUAAAAUUACUAUCUAUGGGAAGAAUAAAACUAAAGUCUAGGUAAGAGAAAGGCAUAAUAUAAAGUUGAGCUACUGUUUAUCUUGUUCCUACUACACUAAGUUCUAGAGAUUUGUUUUGAAAACCUACAAAUCACAUGAUGAGUUCCUAGCAUUACAAACUACCUACCACAGCCAUACUUGCUAUAACAUCUUUUACUAUAUUUACAUUGAGUUUGAUCGAGCUGUGUUGACCUUUAGGAGCUUUUCAUGUGGUUAAAUUAAGAUAUUCACUUGCACGCAUCUACCACAGCAUUCAUCAUUAAUCAUUAAAAUUGCUAAAAAUAUUAUCACUCACUGUCCUGAAUAUUGUUAUACUCUCUCUCUAAAAGAUUCAAUGCAGAAGAGGCAUGGGUUAUGCAAAAAUAUACGAGGAAAUAAAAAGGGGCAAGUGCCCGGAACCUCGAAAAAGAAAAAAAAAGAGUGAGACGAGAGGUAAAAAUGGACAAGUGUCCGAAGUAGAAUUAGGGGUAUCUACUACCCACCUGAAAAAAAAAGAAAAAAGAAAAAGAUAGCCCAUGUUCUCCCAAAGCAAAGAUCAAAGAGGAGGAGAGAUAGCAAUAUAAGGAGCAAUGAGAACUAAGUUUUAUUAUCACUUAUGCAUUUUCACCAUCACUAUCAUUUACUCCACCACACAUGCACAUCUUGAUUUAAUUAUAUGCUGAGUUCCUUUGGAUCCAUGGCUCGAUUAGACAACAUAUGUAUGAGCUGUUUUUCACUCCUAUGAGCUCCACUUAAAUAUUCCAUUAGCUAUAGGUAAGUGAUAUCAUGGUAAGGAUCCACAAAUACCACAUAUAGAGAGACUUGAGAGAAUCAUUGCUGGGAACUCUAAGUUUUAUUUUGAAAAUUUAUAAAAAACUCUAGAAUAAAGGUGAAGUAUAAACAGGAGGGAUAGUACUUGACUUAACUAUUUUGUCUUUCGAUUACUUAAGAUUUAAGUGCAGGUACUAAACUUCAUAACACUUCACUUUAAUCUGGAAGAAUUCAUAUGUAAAAGCAUGUGUGCCUGUCAGGAAAGAAAAUAUCGAAGCAACUCCUGAUCCGUCUGAGUUUAGCUGUUUGCUCAGGGACGAGCAAAGGGUAAGCUUGGGGGAGUUUGUUGACGGUCCUUAAGUACUAAAAUUAAUAAUCAAAUAAACAUGAAAAAGGAUCAAUAUGAAACAAACAUCUAGAAUUAGGGUUUUAUCUGACAGAAUUCCACGAGCUUUGGUGUUUAUCUAUUUCUGCAGGGGUUUAUCAGAAAAUAUGGAGAGAAGGCCCACAUGUCAUGUUUACAACGAGAUAAUUACGUGCCGCGCAAUUUUCCUUGAUCUAGAAGGAUCCAGAAGCCACGGGAACGAACGAGAGGGGAUUCGGGCUCGGGGGCUGGGCGGCCGCCCACCCCCCUUGGGCGCCCGCCCAGGUGAGGAGUCCAAUCAGGACUCUGCUUCGGGACAAUCCUCCACCGACCUAAAGGAUCAAUCUAAACCAUACAAUCUAUGUCGGUUUGAUCCAAUGGCUCACGUUCACUUGAGGGGACUAUAAAACCAGACCCCCUGGCCCCUGGAGGAGAGGAGGAGAAAUCAUUAUUCAGAGGUAGCCAUCAAAGUUAGGGUUUAGAUCUCUCUCCCACAGAGAAUUAGAAUUAGCUACUCCCUAAUCCUUCAAGUUUAGAGGUUGAUUAGAUAGCAAUUAGAGAAGUAGAGCACAACGCUCUGGAUUCGGAUCUUCGGUAAUAAAGAUUGGUAUUAUUCAUAUCUUUCUCUAAUUCUAUUGUUCUAAUUGCAUUAUGUCUCUAAUUAUUAUGUUCUUAGUUUGCUCUAGUUCUAUAUUUGAUAUAGUUCUAAUUGAUAAUGAGUUUAUGUAUAAGUUUGCAAAGCGCUUAGCUCUUGACGCGAGGGAGUUAGGUGAUAGAUCACAUGUGAGCGUGGUGCUUAGAUGUUAUUUAUCUGCAAAUGUAUCCUAUUGGCCGAGUCGUGUGGUAGUUCGCGAUAGUGACAGCUUCGUUGAUUCUUAUAUAGUCCACCCUCCGUUGAUAGGACAGGCAGAACCGGUAUUGUGGAGUAAGUCAUGCGAUGUUCUGAUUUACUUUAUCAAUGUUCCUUAUACAUGAAUGAAGAGUCUUUUAUGCUAUAUAUGAUCUUGUAGAUAACUAGAGUAGAUUAUGACUUAGUAGUUAGUAGAUAACUUAGAAUCCAUUCUCUAGCUAAUCCGACAUCACCUACAUAUAUGAGGAGUAGUCUAUUUUCUAAUCGCUGUGUUAUUUACCCAUAAACUUAUACUUUAUUAUCAUUAUCUUUAUGGUUUACCCCCUGCUAGAGUAAGUGACUGUGUGACGAGUUUCUCAUUAGUAAUCAUGUUCUUGCAAGUUUAUCUCUAAUCUAUGCCUUGAUAGAUUUUGCCCAUUGAUUUAAUUCCGUUUUCUUGAGAUCCCCUAAGCAAAAUUAUAAAUAACGAUACCUGGAAUACUUAUCCUGGUGAAAUGCUACAAUGAGGUGUUUUAUCUGUGCGCUUGCGGAUAGAAUAGAUUAUUUUCUAGAGAGCCUUUACAUUUAUAAAUAGCUUUGUACACUCUGGCGCCAUGCUAGGGAUGACAACCUAGUAUCUAAGUGGUGUUAGCUAGUGUCAACAGUAGUCAACUCAGCAACCGUUUCCCCGGCAACGGCGCCAAAAAUGCUUGUUGACACUUGCUAACACCACUUGAAUACUAGGUUGUCAUCCCCAGCAUGGCACUAGAGUGUACUAUGGUAUUUAUACGCACACAGAUAAUCCGCAAGCGCACGGAUACCGUUGAAGCUUUUACCCGGUUAAAGGUUUUAUCGUAUCCACAGGGAAACGGGAGAACCAACUACGCUCUAACUUAACCAAGAUAGAUUAGAUAGGUGUAAAUAGGAAAGAUGGUAGAAUUGAACAAGAACAAUAUUAAAGGUAAGAUAACAAUAGGUGAUAAUAUGGGAAUAGAGAGUAGAGCAAUUCUAGUAUAUGGGCGAUGGUAGCAGAAUAGAGAGGAUAACUAUGGUUUCUCUACUUCAAAGGGGUAUGUCUAUGUCUGGGACGAACCACGUGAUAAGAUUACACCACAAAGGAUGCUUAUCCAUAGGCCGAUAAACCCUACCCGUCCUGCUAACGAGAGGUGGACUACAGAGGACCAACGUAACUGUCACCUACGCGGCCUACCACACGAUCCAGCUAGACAGGGGAUAUCCACAAGUAAUCUAGAUCUAAGCACCUCGCUUACACCUAUACUACAACUCUAACCUAUAGCGUCCUAUAGAUUAGAAGUACUCAAAAGAGUUGUGAACCAGAACGUACAUAAUUAGUAAUUGCAUAAUGAAUUAGAAGUAGAUUACCAGAGUCAUCCCAUGAGCAAGCUUGAUUAGAGCUUGAUCAUGACGAAGUACAACCGGAGGAAGAACCGAUGAGCCGGCCUCUCCUCUAAUCCUCCUUCGCUCUCCAUCUUGCUACUAUCUAGAUCUACUCUAGUUUAGAGAAGAGAGGAGAGCUCUCUUCUCUAAACCCUAGCUUUUGCUCUGUCUAUGAAUAAUGAAUAAUGAUCAAGGGGUGCCUCCUCCAGGGGCCAGGGGGUCUGGUUAUAUAGUCUUUUCAGAUGAAUCUGGGCCGUCGGAUCAAACCGACAUUGAUCGUGUGGGUUUCCUUGAAGUAUUAGGUCGGUGGAGCAUGAUCCGCGAAGUUGAAGCUGAUUGGUUACUGUAGCUGGGCGGGCACCCAAGGGACUUGGGCGGGCGCCCUGCCCCCGGGCCCAAUCGGCCUCCCGUUCGUUCCCGUGGCUUCUAGAAUCUUCUAGAUGGUAGAAAAUUGCGCGGCACGUUAAUAUCUCUAUGUAAACCCGACAUGUGGGCCUUUCCUUCAUAUUUCCUGAUAACCCCCCUGCAGAAAUAGACAAACACCAAAACUCAUGGAAUUCUGUCAGAUAAAACCCUAAGUCUGGGUGUUGGUUGCAUUUGGAUCCUUUUCUUUGUUUAUUUGAUAGUGAAAUUUGAUACUUAAGGACCGUCAACACUUGAUCUAAAGUCUAAGUCGUUAACGGAUAUGAUAUGGGAAGGUUGAGCUGCUAUUUAUCUGUUCCUAGAGAUGCUAGAAUUCUGGAGAAUUUUAUCUUUGAAAAUCUUUAAAAUAACACAUGAUGAGUUCCUGUAUGAUGAGAGUUUAAAAUCCUACCACAGCCAUAUAUACAUGCUUAUUAGACUUUGAGCCACACAUUUACUUUUUACUGCUUAUGAGCAUUGAGUGUGGUCAAGCUGUGUAGACCCUUAGGAGCUUGUCAUGCGGUUAAAAUCAAGAUUCACUUGCACGUUCACUCACACAUGCUGCUUCUACUCCAGAAGUACGCAUCCACAUACAUCCACUCAUUCUCAUCUCCAGAGCCACCCAAAAGUAUUCUACUCCUAAUUCGAGAGAGAAUAGCUAAAAACAUUCCUAUCCCUGUUUUUUCCUAUGAAAUAAAUGCUCGAGUUAUCUUGGUUACUACCACUUGCUAUAUUAUUCAGGAGAUGAGUGCUCUAAAAAAAGAGAAGAAAAAAAAAGAAAAAAAAUAAAAUACGAGGAAAUAAAAAGGGGCAAGUGCCUGGAACCUCGAAGAAAAGAAAGAGUGAGACGAGAGGUAAAAAUGGACAAGUGUCCGACAGUAGAAUUAGGGGUACAAGAUACUCACCUGAGAGGAAAGAAAAAGAAAAUAUAGAGCAUCUCAUUCUCCUCAAAAAGCUUCAAAAUGCAAGAAAGGUAUGUAUCCCCUUAAAAGAGCAAAAGUAGAAUUCGAUUUUCACCAUUGUUAUCACCAUCAUCACCAUACACCAUUCACUCGCCACACAUGCACAUCUUGAUUUGACUUAUUGACUUGUUCUUCUGGAUCCAUGAUUUGACUAUGCAAUAAAUGUCUUGUAAGUAUGUAUUAGCUGUCUCCCACCUAUGAGCUCCAGAUAUCAAAACCUUAUUAGAGUAGGGUGAGAGAGAAGGCAAUAUCACUAUGCCUCAUACCACAAAUACUACAUACUUUGAGAGAAGGCAUAUAUCAUCACUGCCUUAGUGAGGAUUCAGAAAUACCACAAAAGAGAGAUCUAAGAGAGUCAUACAAGGAAUCUCUGAGUUUUAUUUGAAAAUCUGCAAAAACUCCAGAGCUAUAGCUGAUCAAGAAUAAGAGACAUGGCGCUUGACUUGACCGUUCUAUCUUUUAACUGCUCAAGACACAGGUAACGGUUACAAAUCCCAUGGUAAAAGGUAAAAUGAGUAAGUUUUAAGUCUUAACAGUUUGUUCUAACUCAGAGAUGAGACCUUGCUUGAAUGCGUGUGUACUUUUAAAGCACGAAACCACUCCAGAAACUCUUGAGUUCAUCCUUGCUCAGGGACGAGCAAGAGGUAAGCUUGGGGAAGUUGUUGACGGUCCUUAAGUACCAAAUAUAAUCAUCAAAUAAAUAAAGAAAAGGAUCCAAAUGCAACCAACACCCAGACUUAGGGUUUUAUCUGACAGAAUUCCACGAGUUUGGUGUUUGUCUAUUUCUGUAGGGGGUUAUUAGGAAAUAUGGAAGAAAGGCCCACACGUCGAGAUUACAUAGAGAUAUUAACGUGCCGCGCAAUUUUCUAUCAUUUAGAAGACUCCAAAAGCCACGGGAACGAACGAGAAGGCGAACGGGCCCGGGGGCAGGGCGCCCGCCCAGGAGUUGUAGUCAAACACGUCCAACUUUGCGGACCAAGCUCCACCGACCUAAAGGAACAAGGAUAACCGUCCAAUCAAUGUCGGUUUGAUCCAAUGGCUCAUGUUCACUUGAUGUAACAUCCCUGAUGUUACGAACACUAAAAACGGAUCAUGUCAUCAUAAGCAUUGCAAAGCAUAAUUGUUGAGCACAUUUUGAUGCAUCAACUUAAAAUGAGUUUAAUUUUGUUGAAUGUGCUUAGGGAAUUAAAGUGUGUUUAUCUUGUAUCAUAAUGCUUGAGUUGGUUGUUAAAAACCCUAGGGUGAAAAAUUUCCGAAGGCUUAGGGGGGGAAAACCCUGAUUUCUGGACCCUAGAAUUGCCCCUUUUUGUGCAAUUCAAAAACUAAGCAAAAUUUGGAGAUGAGUUCAAAAGCAAAGUUGUAGAUCUUGUCAAGAUGUACAACUUUGGUGUUUUGAGUUUUUGAAGUUUCAAUACAAAAUUCAAAGUAAUUUUGAAAAUACAGAUUUCCAGAAAGUGUCCCCUUUUCCAAAUUAAACCUCCAAUUCAAAAUCCAUUUGGAAUUUUGAAAAGUGGUCAACAUGAAAGUUGUAGUGCACAAAAAGUUGAGCAACUUUCAUGUUGGGAAUUUUUCAAGUUGUUUGGAAAAAUCAAAAGUAAUUUUAGAAUUUCUAUUCUGUCCCAAUUCAAACCAGAUUUGCCCCCAAAUUGAAUUUUUGAAUUUCAAAGUGUUUCCCCUAAAUUCAUGCCCUUACACUCAAAAUCAGUUCUGGACUUUUAAAUAUGUUUUGUAGCUUAUAAAAUUUGGAACAACUUUUGUUUUGACACAAAUUUGACUCCAGUUCAAAUUUUGGCUGAAUUUCACAAAGUUCAGAAAAGAGGGGAUAAGGGUCUGCUACAGUGACCCGAUAGGGAUCACCGGCUCCCUGUCCAGCACGGCCGCCGCGCGCGCAGCGCCGCGUGCGCGCGUGUAGGCACGCAGCCUGCCUGCCUGCUAGCGUUGCCAGGCAACGUGGACGCCCUAGGCUCGUUCCCUUCUCCCCUUUGGGCACCAGCGUGGGCGCCGCCGCGCGUUUCCUUCGUCCUGAGCUAGAGAACCCCGACGAGCUUCCCUCCUCAAUUCGCCAUAACCACUCCUUCCUGAGCCAAAUUGAGCAACCCAGAGUCUCCGUCACCUUCGUGCGAACCCAGUGCACCCCCAAGCUCCCUCUCUAACCCCCUCAAACGCCAGAGCUCCUCCCUCUUCUCCAACUCCGGCCAAGACCGCCGCCGCGGAGCUCUUCCUGUGGCCACGGGGUUCCAGUGAGUAUCACACCCCGCUGGCGACUGUUUCACGUUCCUUCCGUGCCCCGGUUGCUCAUGCUCUCGCUCCCUCUCCUUGAAUGUGAGCAGGAUCGCCGGAACGAGCUUGCUGGAGCCAGAGCUCCCGCCCGACGACACUGCUUCUGUCGCCAGCGGCUUCAGCUGCUUCCCCGAGCCUUGCAGCGUGAGCACCACCCUCCCCAACCCCUGUGGAAGCUCGCUAGGCCGUCGGCUUGCACUCUACCGGGCCCUAGCGGCCAGCCGAGGGUCGGCCAUGGCGGCCGCCCGCCCUUCUCGUGACCGAGGUGGGGGAGGUAGGGUAGAGCGUGGGUAGGAGGUGUCUACAGGGUCGCGGAGUUGAGGUGAAGCCGAUGCGCACGCGCACUCUGGCUGAGACCCUCGCCAACGGCGGCCGGAGCCGUGGCCAAACCGCCGUGCGCGGUGAGGACGCAGCUGACGGGUGGGGUCGCCCCGUCAGCGUCCCGCUGAGAGAGGGCCUGACGAGCGGGACCCGCUCGUCAGUGACCGCUCAGAGAGGGGGGGGCAGCGCGCGCAGUCCGCGUGGGCCGAGAGCGCUCGGGCCAGAGUGGGCCGUGCCCAAGCGGGCCGCUGCGCAGGAGUGUUGUUUUUCUUUUUCCUUUUUGAUUAAAAAUACUUGAUGUUUGAAUUUAUGUUAUAAAGUGUGUAGUGCUCCAAAAAUGAUGAAAAUUUUUGUAUAGAUCCUGUGAAAUAGUUAGAACCUAGGAAAAAUAUUAAGCCCUAUUUUCUGAUAGUUUGUAAGGUUAUAAAAAUUGGCUCUUUUAAUUAGCAAAUAAAACUUUGAUGAAUUUUAAUAAUUUAUUAGUAUGUCCAAAAAUCAUCAAAAAUUGUGGGAUGCCUCUGAAUAUUAUUUCCAGGCUUCACGCAAAUUUUGGUGACAUUUGGAUAAUGUUUGGAUAGAAUAUUAAUAAACUCUUAUUUAGUAAUUAAAUAAUAAUUCCAAGAUAAUUAGAUAGUGAUUAGUGGAAUCCUCACAAUUAGGGUUGAGUGAUUUUGGGAUUAUGUGAUGACCUGAGGUCAUUAACCCUAAUGACCUUUGGCAUUUAAUUAUUGUUUGGCCUUAAUUACUGUCAUUAGUGAUUAAUUAAGAGUUAAUUAAGGUAAAUAGGAUUAAUGAUUAGUUAAUUUAAGAUAAUUAUGAAUUAAGAAAAGUCUUAAUUUACAGAUGCAACCUCUUGGGUAAAAACAUUAAGGUGUUAAACAACUUUAUUUAUUGGUUAUUCUGUAUUGCACCGAGAAAGCAAGUUGUACUCGACUUGAUCCUUCUUGCAUAAUUGUCAUACGCAUAUCAUGAGCAUUCAUCAUUUUGCGUAUAGCGUCCGUGACCGAAGGAGCGCCCGUUGAACCGAACCCCGAGGUCGGUGCUCCGUUCGAAGAAGUCGGAUCCGAGACUUGGGAAGUCUCCGAGAGUCCCUCUCUGCCCUGCAACCAAGGCAAGCCCCGGAUGCAUUAACCCCCCUUGAAUGUUUUAAAUCUUUUAUCACUUAUGAAUUGAAAAUGCUGCAUUAGGUAGUUGAGAAUUGGGUUAACCUACUUGCUGCAUUUACUACCUUGAUAUCUGUUAUCCUGUCCUUGACACCUGUUUAUUUUAAAACUGCGUAGUAAUGCUUAGCCCUGCUACUAGAUAGGUUUUCAAAUAAGAAAGUUUGAAGGGUUGUUGUGGAAUACAUUUAUGAUCAAUGAUGUUUUAAUCUGAGACCGGUCGGUGGACUUGCUUUAAGAAUGGAGUCUUAAAGUAGUGUCUCCAACUAUGUCGAUUAAGGACCGGUCCGUUGAUGGCCCGCUGGGUUGAGAAUUUAUAGUACUAGCCACUUGCCCUCGGCAAGCCCGGUCUUGUGAUCCCUCGACGUGAACAGCUACUCGCGCACUGGGAGUGGAAAGAUGGCGAGAGUAGUGUGUACCCACCUUACGGAUCUGAGAUGACCGGAAAACAUCUAGAUCGGCUGUAGGAUGGUGGAGUACUGUGCUCUCGGGUGCCGCGAACCUGGUCAAAUUUAGGGAGAGCUUGAUUUGGGUUGACAUAUGCAAGUUUUGGUUCUACAUAUGUCGGGUGGUUAGGAACUCCAGCUGGAUUGCUAAGUGGUUCGAAUCGUCGUUGCACCCCGAUUGGGAGACUCAAUCCACUGCCCCUCAUCAUAGUUAAUUAUGCAACUAAUUGGUAAAAUGAGAAAGGGGGAAAUGUCUCAUGAGGUUCGGAUCCCAAUUCCCGGACUCAUAGCGACAUGAAGCUAUGGCCAUCAAAUAAAUGAUACUUUAAUUUAGGACUAGAAACUCACAGACUUGUCUGUGGGGAAGCAACUAGGUAGACUGUCCUCGAACUCCUCGGCCUCGACGGGAGAGGAAUUCGCAGGUAAAACUUGAAAGUAAGGAUGCACUAUUAGUAAGCUUUAUAGCAAAACACUUUGGCUCCUUGCUCAGCCACUCCUUGUCUACCCUAAGCCUGCAUUCCUAAGUUCUCCUCUUUUUCCACCGGGUAAGUCUUGUUGAGUACUCCCGUACUCAGGGUUCCAAUACCCCUGUUGCAGGUGAAGCUCAGGAACCGACUUGUUUCGGACCCUGUUGUGUGACCGUCGUCGAGGUUGACGAUGAAGAAGAGUGAGCGUGACCCAUGGGCAGGGUCUGUAAAUUUGUGAUCUCUGUACUAAAGUUUAAGUUGCUCCGCUGGACCAGGCAUGUAAUAACACUCUGCUAUUUGGAAGAACUCCUUCUGUAAAAUAAGAUAUGUAAUACUUCCGCUGUUUUACUCUGAAAUAUUAUUUUGGCCGUAUGUCGUUUGUGGUACUGCAUUGUCUUCGCAACGAAUGAUCCUGGUGUUAAGGUGGCCACUUGCUAUCCUAUAAGGGCGAGAAGAAGAAGUUCUCGUUAAUUGACCAUCACCAGUGGUCAGGACGAGCCGGCUUGGCACGCCACAGGUAGCAGUGGAAUGAGCGUCCAGCGAUGCUCAUCGGACUUCUAAAGUGGGAGGAUCCCCGGCACCACCGUCAGAGGUCCUUAGGACAAUGACAGGUGUCGGUGGGCCCAAACACUUAGGGGGUUCUGCCACAGCUGGUAUCAGAGCAUUCGUUGCUAAGAUAACUGCUGAACCUCUUGAAAAACUUCAAAAUUCCUUUGGAUCCAAUACUAUAAACCUACCUAUUUUGAGUCCAAGUGCUUAGUCCUAACUUACCCCUGUCUAUAGGCUUCCUUAGAAUUUUUGAAGUGGUAUGGAGGAGCAACAUAGAGUAUUGCCCUAUGUUGUAAAAAUUUAAAGUAAUAAUGUUACGAAUUGUUAGUAGGAAUCGUAAGUUCGUGCAUGCAUCAUGAUGUAUUAACUGGUUAAGUUCCUUCCUCCUUGUUUGGGUUGGGUGAAUAGAAUCAAUCCUAUUCUUGCUAACCUUUAAGGUCUCUCUUACUAAUCCAAACUUACCCUCUACAGGAUGGCUCGUCAGAAGCAGACCCCGCGUAAGAGGACAGGUCCAAAAGGAGUUCCCCGACAUCAGCUGGCUCCACGCAGCGAUCAAGCCAGCAGUAGCCGUUCACCGCCUCAGCAGGAGGUGGACAGGUUGUCCGCCGAGUUGACUGAGGUGAUGAGAGAAAGAAUGUACAAUGUUAUGGAGAUCGGCAAACUUAAAGCUCAACUAGCCAAAGAAAAACAAGCUACAGAGAACUGUGAGGCUAUGUUGUCCCGGAUGGUGGAGGAGAGGAAUGCCUCCAUUGCCCGAGAGGAAGAAGCUAGGAGCACACACAGGCAUGAGCUGAGUAGGAUGAAUGCAAAGCUGGGCAAGGCCAGGUAUCUUAAGGAUUUGUACGUGAAGAUGGCGGCCACGGUCACCGCACAGCGGGAUGUCGCGUGGCAGCGAGAGGACCAGCUCCAAUUGGAGAAGCUGGAGCUGGCACAUCACUUAGAUACCGUUAAUGACUUGGCAAUGCAAUAUCGUGAUAUUGCAUUUGAUCUGUAUCAUCAGCUCCACCCACCUCCAGGCGAAGGAGAAAUGGAUACGGAUGGCGAGUUGGCAGACGAUGGGGAAUCCGAUCCAGGCCUCAGUGAUGAAGAGGAGUCCGACCCCGAUGACAACAACCCAGGGGGUAAUCAGGAUGAUGGCAAUGACGACCUGGGCUACAGCUCUGGCCACACCGAUUAGUUCGGUGGAACCGCGGACAACGUCAUUGUCGGAGUCCUAGCUUGCCGUAGUGGGGUUCGGGUUUGUAAUAUAAGUUUUCUUUUGGUUUGAGAAGUUGUAUUUGUUUGUUCCUGGUAUGUCGAACUAAUGUUUAAUAAAGGGAAGAAUGUAAGAUAUGUUCUGUGUUAUGAAUUUCACGUGGUAACAGGUAUCUACGAUUCUUGUAACAGAUGCCGAUGCGUACACGCGGAUCUGAUGGAGCUGGGACAUCUCAGGGAGGGGAUGAUAUCCCCAACCCUCCACCUGCUCCACCUUCUUUGGCUGACGCCAUUGCUGUUUUGUUAAGUGCCACUACUGACAACGCUCGCUUGCUGCGCGAGCUAGCACAGCGUCAACCACACCCCGCCCCAAACUUCAGGGCACCGCGCAACGGGGACGGAGAGACUCGGUAUGUGGACUUUACCGAGACCAGGCCCCCGGUGUUCACUAAGGUCGAUGAGCCUUUAGAAGCGGAUGACUGGCUCCGAACCAUGGAGCAUAAGUUCAGUUUGAUUCAGUGUUCAGAAACUCAGAAGCCCCUGUUCGCAGCUCAGCAGCUUCGGGGAGCUGCAGGUGCCUGGUGGGAGAACUUCUUAGCUAUCCAAGCUCCCGGACACCAGGUCACCUGGACCGAGUUUAAGGACGCAUUCUGCGCCCAUUACAUUCCGGAAGGGCUCAUGGCCAUGAAGGCCGAAGAGUUUCUCGCCUUGCAGCAAGGCGAUAAAAGUGUUAUGGAGUACGUGGCAAGGUUUAAUCAUCUCUCUCAAUAUGCCACGGACCAUGUGAACACAGAUAGAAAGAAGAAAGCCUGCUUCAUGCGUGGUCUAAAUACUAAACUUCAGACCAUGAUGACCACCUGCCAAAAUGCUACCUUCUAUGAGGCGGUAAAUAUUGCCAUCGCCUCAGAGGAAAAGAAUAGAAAGCAUAAAGAAGCCAAGAAGAAGGCUGCUUCUUCCUCUUUCUCUGGUCGCGGUCAAAAGCGUCAGAGAAUCAUUUACCAUCCGCAGGGCCACGGACGCUUCCAAGCGCCGUCACCUUAUCGUGGUCCUUUCUCCCCCCACAGUAUAAACCAGGGCAGCAGGUAUACUCUCGACCUACUGCCAUCGCUUUCGCACCACGCCAGCCGAACGCCCCAGGUGUUCGCCCCACUGCUCUGCCCAGCCACAAUUACCCUUGCUUCAAUUGUGGUAAACCUGGGCAUUUCUCUAAAGAGUGCCCUUUUCCCCGCCAAACCAACCCUACCUUCCAAAGGCCGCCUAUGGGCCAACCCCAGCCGAAUCAAUUCAGGGCUGGGGCUCUAAAGGGACAAAAUGUGCAAAAGGGGAAACCAGCGAAGAAAGUGGGACAAGUCUUCCAUAUGGAAGUGGAGACGAUUCCAGAGGGUGAACCAGUAAUGAUGGGUACGUUCCCUGUCGCGAAACAUCCUGCUUUAAUGCUCUUUGAUUCUGGUGCAUCUCAUACAUUCAUCAAUCGCACCUUUGUGUUAAAGCAUGGCAUACCCAUUGGGGAAACACAAGAUCAUUUUUAUAUACAGUCGCCAGGAGGACGGCUGAUGUCCAAAGAAAUGGUUCACCAAGUACCCAUCGAAUUUGGUGGGCAUAAUUUUCCCACUAGCAUGAUUGUUCUUAAGGACCAAGAGAUUGAUGUCAUCUUAGGCAUGAACUGGAUGGCACAACGAGGGGUUGUGCUAGACACUUUGCAUCGAACCAUUAAAAUCUCAUUGCCCAAUGAGAAUUCUUAUUUGCUAAUUCAAUUAGUUACUCCCAAGCGGACAAUUGGGCAAGUUCAUGCCGCUAAUGUGUCUGAAGUCAAAGAUAUCCCGGUAGUUCGGGAUUUUCCGGAUGUAUUUCCUGAAGACCUACCAGGUCUGCCUCCGGACCGGGAUGUACAAUUCAGUAUAGAAUUGAAACCAGGGACGGCCCCAAUAUCUCGAAGGGCCUACAGAAUGGCACCGAAAGAGCUGGCCGAAUUAAAAACCCAAUUACAAGAGCUGUUGCAAAAAGGUUUUAUUCAGCCCAGUUCUUCUCCAUGGGGUUGCCCAGCCUUGUUUGUGAAAAAGAAAGAUCAAACAUUAAGGCUGUGUGUCGACUAUCGUCCCCUAAAUGAGGUGACGAUUAAGAACAAGUACCCAUUGCCCCGCAUUGACUUAUUGUUUGACCAGCUAGCUGGGGCCAAAGUAUUCUCGAAAAUUGAUUUGAGAUCAGGGUACCACCAAAUUAAAAUUAGGCCGGAAGAUGUGCCCAAGACAGCUUUUACAACCCGUUACGGGCUGUAUGAACACUUGGUGAUGUCCUUUGGGUUGACCAAUGCACCGACCCAUUUCAUGUACCUGAUGAACUCUGUCUUCAUGCCAGAACUAGACAAAUUUGUUGUAGUCUUUAUUGAUGACAUUUUGAUUUACUCCAAGACUAAGAAAGAACAUGCUGAACAUUUGAGGGUCGUGCUGACUCGUCUCAGGGAGCAUCAGCUAUACGCCAAGUUCAGCAAAUGUGAGUUCUGGCUGGACAAAGUCCAUUUCCUGGGUCAUGUAUUAUCAGCGGAAGGAGUCGCUGUAGACCCAGGCAAGGUAGAAGACGUGUUGAAUUGGAAACCCCCGACUACGGUACAUGAGGUCCGUAGUUUUCUCGGUAUGGCGGGAUAUUACCGUCGUUUUAUCCCGGACUUUUCCAGAGUCGCCAAACCAAUCACAACCUUGCUCAAAAAUCAAACAAAAUUUGUUUGGUCACCCCAAUGUGAGCAAGCCUUUCAGACUCUGAAAAGGUUGUUGACAACUGCACGUGUCUUAGCCCAGCCAGAUAUUGAAAAACCCUUUGAUGUGUAUUGUGACGCAUCAGGGAUCGGGAUAGGCUGUGUGCUAAAGCAGGAGGGUCGCUGUUGGGUAUUCUUAACAUCAUUACCAAAAGUAGACUAAGUUCUCUAAAUCUAGCAACGGUGCCAAAAAUGCCAAACCUAUCCCUUACACCACUUAAGCCAAGUUGUCAUCCCCAGCAUGAUAUAAGAGACGCGGUAUUGAAAUAUGCAAUUGCUCUUCUAAAUAACUAAUGAAUGGGAUCUGCAAGCGCACAGAUUAAUACCGAUGUAGCAUUUUAACCGGGAAGUAUUCCAGGUAUCGUUAUUUAUAUUUUUACCACUGGGAAGGGAUUAGCGAUCAUCAAUAUUGAUUACAGAAUAGCAUAUGAGAUUGAGCAUCUAUCAUUGCAUGUAUAAUUGAGAACAUUAUAUCUAACUCUUCAUACAAGGAUAAGUGUCACAUAAAAGAUAUAUAAAAUAAUAAUAGUGACAAGGAUAACUAAUCUGAUCUAGCCACAUAAUAAAUAUGAUAAGCACCUCAAUUAGAUACUCUAGAAAGUCAUUAGCAUGGUAUUAGAACGAACUACAAGAAUAUUCCCUAAGUUAUUCUUAACUAUAUAGUCUAGCAUAUAAUAGUUAGUGCAAGCAUACUUAGCAAUCAUUGCUAGACAAGACUACGCCCAUGCAUAGUGAUAUUAGCAAGGAAUAUGAGAAACAUAGCAAUCACUCCCCUGUAAUAAUGUUGCUCUGCCAGCCCAAUACACGAGAGGGGGACUAUAUAAGAAUCAAUGAAGCUGUCACUAUCACGAACUACCCCACGAUCUGGCAUAUUGGGUACAAUCGCAGAUAAAUACGGUAUAAGCACCACGCCUACACAAUAUCUAUCAUUUACCCAUGGAUCCGAUGGAUAAACGCUAUACGAUCCUAAGCAUGUAUAUAGAUCGUAUCUAACUAAGCCAAGUACAUAACUAUGAUAAACUAAGAACAAUAUAAUCUUGAAUAUAAGCAAGUAGAGCAAAGUCAUAAGCAAUAUAUUGAAGUAGAACAAAGUUAUAUUCAUAAUAUUGAAGAACAAAGAUAAUUAGAAAGCAAUUAGAAGAACAAUUAGAAAAUUACCAAGAAUCCUCCUGACAGAUCCGGAAACCAAUCGAAGAUUGACUCCUUCUAGUUCUAAUCCUAUGUAGCUAUGCUAAUCUAGAUAUCUAAUUGAUGUGGUGGCUCUAAUCUUGAUCAGAGGCUUCUUCUCCCUUGAUGGAACAAUGAAUUAGGGUUGAGAGGCUCUCUCCUCCAGGGGCCAGGGGGUCUGGUUUUAUAGUCCCUUCAAGUGAAUAUGGGUCCUUGGAUCAAACCGACAUAGAUUGUAUGGUUUAGAUUCAUCCUUUAGGUCGGUGGAAAUCUCCCGCGAAGCAGAGUCCUGAUUGGACUCCUGGAGGGGGCGGGCGCCCAGGGCAGGAGGGCGGGCGCCCUGCCUCUGGCCCCGUUUCGCCUCCGCUUCGGUCUCGUGGCUUCUGGAGUCUUCUAGAUGUAAGAUAAUUGCGCAGCACGUUAAUAUCUUUACGUAAUCCUGACAUGUGGGUCUUUCUUCCAUAUUUCCUGAUAACUCCCUGCAGAAAUAGAUAAACACCAAAACUCGUGGAAUUCUGUCAGAUAAAACCCUAAGUCUGGAUCUUGUUUUCAUUUGGAUCCUUUUCUUUAUUUAUUUGACAAUUAAAUUUGAUACUUAAGGACCGUCAACAAACUCCCCCAAGCUUACCUCUUGCUCGUCCCUGAGCAAGGAUAGACUCAGCUAUGGAUCAUAAGUUGCAAUAUUUUAAAAAUUUGACGGUACACAUGCUUUUUAAAUAAGAUCUUAUCUCUGAGUUAGAGUAAACUGUCAAGACUUAAAACUUACUUUACCUCCACUAUGGGACUUGUAGCUGUCACUUCUAUCUUGAGUGGUUAAAAGAUAGAACAGUCUAGCCAAGUGCCAUGUCUCUUAUUCUUGAUCAGCUAUAGCUCUGGGGUUUUUGCAGAUUUUCAAAUAAAACUCAGAAAUUCCUUGUAUGAUUCUCUCAGGUCUCUCUUUUGUGGUAUUUCUGGAUCCUUACCAAGGCAGUGAUGGUAUAUGCCUUCUCUCAAGAUAUGUGGUAUUUGUGGUAUGAGGCAUAGUGACAUUGCCUUCUCUCUCUCACCCUACUCUAAUAAGGCUUUAAUAUCUGGAGCUCAUAGGGGGGAGAUAAGGUAUACAUACUUACAAGACAUUUAUUGUAUAGUCAAACCAUGGAUCCAAAGUAACAAGUCAAUAAGUUUAAUCAAGAUGUGCAUGUGUGGCGAAUGAAUGGUGUAUGGUGAUGAUAACAAUGGUGAAAAUAAUGGUGGUGGAAGUCUAAUUCUACUUUGCUCUUUAAGGGGAUACAUACCUUCCUUGCUUUUGAAACUUUAUGAUGAGAAUGAGAUGCUCUAUCUUUUUUUCUUUUCUCUCAGGUGGGUAUAUUGUACCCCUAAUUCUACUGUCGGACACUUGUCCAUUUUUACCUCUCGUCUCACUUUUUCUUUUCUUUCGAGGUUCCGAGCACUUGCUCCUUUUUAUUUCCUCGUAUUAUUUUUUCUUUUUCUCUCUCUUUUUUUUUCAGAGCAUUCAUCUCUUAAGAUAAUAUAGCAAGUGGUAGUAGCAAGAUAACUUGAGCAUUUAUUUCACAAGGGGAAAACAGAAAUAUUUUUGGUUAUUCUCUCCCGGAUUAGGAGUAGAAUAUUUUUGGGUGGUUUUGGAGAUGGAAAUGAGUGGAUAUAUGUGGAUGGUACUUCCGGAGUAGAAGUAGCAUAUAUGAGUGAACGUGUAAGUGAAAUCUUGAUUUAACCACAUGACAAGCUCCUAAGGGUCUACACAGCUUGACCACACUCAAUGCUCAUAAGCAGUAAAUAAUAAAUGUGUGGCUCAAAGUCUAGCAAGCAUGUAUAUAUGGCUGUGGUAGGAAUUUAAACUCUCAUCAUACAGGAACUCAUCAUGCAACAUUUUAAAGAUUUUCAAAGAUAAAAUUCUCCAGAAUUCUAGCAUCUCUAGGAACAGAUAAACAGCAGCUCAACCUUCCCAUAUCGUAUCCGUUAACAACUUAGACUUCAGAUCAAGUUUUCAUCCCACAAGUUUAGGUCUAGAGCAAGCUUUAAAUUAUAACAGUUAUAUCUAAACUUGAGAGAAAACUUAAAAUGUGCAAAUUAGGCGGAGCAACUAUUCAUCAUAUCCAUGCUUAAGUUUUAUUUAGAUAUAGAUUAGCAUAGCCACUUUAUUUAUUUAUUAAACACACUAAGCAAAAUAUAUAUAAGCAUAAACUCUUUAUUUGGUUUUUCAUAGUUUAUGUGUAUUUAUAUUCUAAAAUAAUAUAAGUAUAAAGAUAGAUAGAUAGAAAUACUUAUCGGGAUAAAUGGGGGUGCUCUCCCCCAAGCUGAAUUUUGACGUAAUUUCUCUUGAUGUAGCUAACAGGUGGCAGAGGUGUAUUUGAAAGUCAGCAGCAUUCUGACAGCGAUUAGAAUGUCCUCCGUCUGCUAGUCUUCUUGAUUCUUAAAUUCUGUGGAUCUCAAAUAGACAACAAAGCUUGUGGAACUGAUUAAGUGUUAGCAUAAAUAUCUAGCCUUUAUUAUCUUGAGACUCCUUAAUAAAUUUUACUCCCUGUUUUUAUAUUUUUGUUUUUAUAAAGCAGAAAAAUAUUUAUUUUAUUUUUACGCCACCACAGUGAAUGUACUUAUGGGUUUUAUGCCACUCGUCUACUCACAUGGGGCUUAUUGUUUUUCACAUUUUUAUUUUCUUUUUAAGACAGCAUGAGCAUUUUUAACUAAGUAAACUAUUUAAAAUAACUGAAAGGGAAAGGGUAACUACCAAGUUUACCUCUUGGCAAGGCGUUCGGUGUUUUUAAGUCCUCCGAACGGGACUCUCCAAUUUCUUAAUCGUCCUGAGGUUCGUUGGGUGGCGUAGUCGGUACUUCCGGCAGCGCCUCCUCUUCUUGUAUAGUUAUCUUCAUUUUCCACACCUGACUUGGUGCUUCAAUCUCCUCUGGAUAAUUCUGUUUAAACUCAACGUCUUCUGACCUUACAACUUCUCCUUCAUAGUCUGCCCAUCCAUCCUGGACGAUCUGCCUCCUCUGGUUGCGGUUGCGUCUCUUUCUGACCUGCUUAAAUUCGUCAACGAUAUAGUUAGGGUCAGUAAAAUAACGACGUACCUUCUCUGAGGGGAAGUGCAUAUGGACUUCUCCGGGUCCAAUGUAGAUAAUUGCUUUAACGGUGCUGAGGAACGGUCUUCCAAGGAUGAUGGGUGGAUCGUACUCGUCUUCUCCCAUGUCAACAACUUGAAAGUCAGUGUAGACAAAGUGAUCGUCUAUUUUGACUGGGACAUCAGAUACUAUUCCUUUGACUUCUCGAAAUGUCUGAUCUGCCAUCUGGAGUUGAAUGUAAGUUGGUCUUAGUGGCAUGGUCCCGAAUAAGAGUCGAUAGGUGACAGCGGCCAUUAUGUUGACGCCCGAUCCGGUGUCGCAAAUUGUCUUGUAGAAGUUGUAUCCAUUUAUGGAGCAGUAGAUGCUUGGCAUUCCUGGGUCGUCCUUCUUGGUCAAGAACGGUGACUUAAGUUGGUGAUCUUGGCCUCCAUGGACUACAGUGACCAUCUUAGCUGACUCGGUCCACACUUGCUUGUUCCUGUUUCUCCUGUUGGUCCUCUUCCUUGAUUUACGUCUGGAUUGAUCUUGAAUUUGUGUAGUCUUGUUCUUGAAGAAAAAUAUCUCCUUCUUCCCUUUGACGUAGAAACUGAUCUUGGCAGCACUGGCGUAGAUGAUAGCUCCCGUGGUGUUCAAGAAUGGCCUUCCUAGGAUGAUAGGUGCUCUCUCAUCAUUUCCGGUCUCUACCACUACGAAGUCUGCUGGGGCAUAUAAGGUACCAACUCGGACACAAAGGUUCCUCACGAUUCCUUUUGGAAAUGUUAUCGUCUGAUCUGCAAACUGCAAACACAUGGUUGUCUCUAAUAAAGGAUAUGUAAAGAAUUU